UUGCCCAGUCAGCUAAGCUUGCUUGAUCUUUCGGUGAACUUGGAAUCACUGGUGGCCUUGCACAUAGCACCUCAAACAAAACCACACCGAAUGAAUAAACAUCAGAUUUCUCUGUCAGGUGUUGCCUACGGUAGUACUCUGGAUCCACAUAUCCAAUGCUACCUCUAACUACAGUGCUAACAUGGGUUUGGGAUGUACUAGUGGGACCCAAUCUGGACAGCCCAAAAUCUGAAACCUUAGCCACCCAAUUCUCAUCUAACAAUAUGUUUGUUGACUUCACAUCACGGUGAAUGAUUGUGUGCUUUGCUCCUGAAUGAAGAUAAUGCAACCCUUUAGCAGCACCGAUGCAUAUUUCUAGCCUUUGCUUCCAUGGAAGAGGAGAGUUCUUUGUUUUGUAUAGAUGUUCUCUAAGAGUGCCUCUUGACAUGUAAUCGUAUACAAGAAUCAUCUCGCCAUGAUCAUCACAGUAUCCAAUCAGUGACACUAGAUGGAGGUGGCGCAGAUUGGAUAACAUCUCAAUCUCUGUCUGGAACUCACGUGUCCCUUGCUUUGAUGAUGACUCUAGUCGUUUGAUGGCUACUGCGAUGAAACCGUAUUCAAUGUAUCCUUUAUACACAGUACCAAACCCCCCUGAACCAAUAAUAUUUUGAUCAUCAAAGUUUCCUGUUGCUUCGUUGAUUUCGAAAAAUGUAAACCGUCGGCAAAGAUCAGUAGGCAGUGAUGAAGAGAUUGUAGUCGUGGACCUAGAUGUUUGUGAUAUUAGAGUCCAGGAGGAUUUUUCCUCACUCUUGCUAGGGUCCUUGACUCGCUUCUGCUUGAAAGCAAAGAAAUAAAGAAUAAGAGAGCAAGCAAAUACUGCACCUAUGGAACCUCCAACGAUGGCUAUAACCGUAAGUAUUGAUGAUCUUUUGCCCGUUCUUCUGUCUUGUAGACUUGGAUGUUGUUCUGCUGGUGGAGGAGCCACUGUUGGCUCAGGGUUGAAUCCUGCAAGAUUUCCUGUGUUGUAUUCAGCUUGAAUAUUUCCAAGCCAUUCAAGAUUGCAUCAGCAUAAGUAGGUUUCAGUUCCAUGUUAGGGUGUAGUUCGAGCCACAAGCCCUGCUUGCUCUGGCUCCCUGAGGGACCGCACGAUGUAGUCUUUGUAAACUGGAAUGCCGUUGCCACCGCUCAUAUGGAUCACAUCUGCAUCAUCUGCUGUUUGAUUGUUGAUGAAUAUUAAAAAUACCUGUGAUUUUCAUUUUGAACUCCAUUCGAGUCUCACAAAAGUGGAGCCUAAGGAGAUAAUGAAACCAGCAUCAACUGGGAAGAUCCAUGUGAGAUUGUAAUUCAUGUUAAGAAUGGUUCAGGACCCAUUGAACGCAUAGUACUAUAUACCAUAACAGGUGCGGAGUAAGCUGGCGUUUUGGUUGUGUACUUUAUCUUGACGCCUGGGAGAUAUGGAUGUUUCCAGCUUUUCCAAAGAGAUACUCUGAAUCUUGAUGCCAUGUCCUGUACAUUCCAGUCUUGUCUCCAGUGCUGCUGAUAUCUUGCCCCCCAACAUUCAGUCGAUAAACUGUCUCAAGCGCAGUUGUGUUACCCAGAUAGAAGGUGGGCGUGCCCACAUAGGUCAGUGGAUUAUCAUCGCCACGAGCAUAGAAGCUGUCUGGCAUGGAAACGAUUUCGAUACCAUUAACGAAGGCAAAAGAUGCUGGAGACGGAUGAAGGUUAAUUCAAGCUUCUGGUUGUCCCACACGGUGAUGAUGAACUCUUUGGUGAAGUAGUCAACUGGAGGUCUUAUAGCAGAAACUGUAAGAGAGGCACUAAAGUUGUUUAGUAGCUUGUAGUUGUUGGCACUAAGCGAAAAAUAGGAUUUGGAUAUGUCAAGAUUUGAGUAAGAAGCUGGAUAAAAGUAGAGACGCACAAAUUUUGGGCCAGGCAAGACUGGAAAUGUGUAAGUGAAUUAGAGUGAAAAAUACGGGCUGUCAUGUAUGGGACUUGGUCGACAGAGGGGUCUUGAGUGGAGGCUUCAAACACAGAUGAGGCUUCUGGGGGGUUAGAGGCAGCAAACUUAGACUGGGAAUCACCAUCCCAGCUGCGACCAUCUGGAGAUGACAAAUUAGAGGAUGCACCACAGUUAAGGAGUAUUAGAUCAGUGGGUCUGUAUGGCAGCAAGUAAUCUUCAGUAGCAGUAGCAUAGAGGAAGAGAUGGAGGGGAGGGAGAAGGUAGAGAAAGAUGAAGAUGGACAUUACUAUGCUAGUUCUUUGGUGGAGUAAAUUGGAGUAAGAAAAAAUAUCUAUUAAAUGCAAAGAUUUUGAUUUAAGGGAAGAUGAUCAAUGGUGUCGCUGUCUCCAUACAGUAACAUUUUUGCUCAGGUUGAGAAUAAUCCAAUAAUAUAUUUGAGGCCCGUCGGAGAAGAAAAUUCGACGAUAUGGCUAAUGGGACAUAUUGGUCAGCUUUGGAUGGCUGCUUCCCGUUGUGUGGUUCUGAAUUCCGCAAUAAAGCCGCAAUGAACAAUCUAAUUUCAACAAAGGAUCGGAGUUGAGUGGAUGUGAUCCUCCUCCAUGUGUUGUAUUCUUUCUCUAUCUCUAAAUAAAAUGAACCUCUCCCGUGAAUGUAGGCGGUUUUGCCGAACCGCGUUAAAUAUUGUGCCAGUGUGCUUGCCCUCCGUUGAGCAAAUAUCAAUACAUCACCGGUCGGAUUUCCCAACAAUUGGUAUCAGAGCUGAUGGUUUAAAGUGGUGUUUGAUUUUUGCUCAAAAAAUGAAAGUUGUCAAAAUUGUGUUUUGACCAAACCACCGUGUAGAGGAGGAAGAGACGAAGCCACUGUUGAAAAAUGUGUUGAAAUCGGACGUCGGACAUGGCUGCGCGUGCCGUCACGCAUCGGCGGGGUGGCUGGCCACGUGCGCAGCAGCGCGCCUCGUCACACGUGUCUUCUUCGCCUGGAUGGGUUGACCCGACCCGAAUACCAGACGACCAGACCCACGUGGCUGACCCGGAUAAGGAUGACAUCAGCAUGACAUAAUUAUGAUGUCAUCAUGCACAGUAGCAUGGCCCAGGAUGACAUCAACAUGAUGUAAUGGUGGCGUCAUCAUGCACAGUCAGCAUGCCAUGUCAGCACAGUGAGCCGAGCCGAAUUGGAGCUGAGCCAAGCCACGAGCCGAGGGAUAGGAUUAUGUGUAGCUGAGUCUACGUGCAAUCGGAUCUGAGAUUGAAUGUGAGCCGUUGAUCAAGCCAGAAUUGUUUUGAUCAAAGCUUAGUCGUCUGAAGUGUGAUUUGGAUGAUUCAAGACAUGUUUCCAGCUAAUUUGAACAUUCCGGAUGCAAUGGUACGGUCCGAUCGUUGAGAUAUGAGACCGAAAAUGACGGUGGUGAAUUAUUAAAGAGAGAUUGCCCGAUCAGGAGGCAUCUGAGGGUCUUGAUGGAGGUCGAUGGAGAUGAUGAAGAAGAAGGUGCACAUGUUUUCCCAAUUACAUGUGCUGAACUAUUAAAUGGGAAAAUGUAAUGCCUUGAUGGAAGGCAAAAUUGGGACACUCUGGACACCCGGUUAUGUGGACAAUUGAGGUGGAGAGUGAAAAUUGACGAAGACCAAUCUUGACGAAUCUAAGCACUGUAGUCUCGCAGAUGUUGAGAAAUCAGGUAUAAAACCUGAUACCAGAUCACUUGUAAAGGAAAGCCGCAACAAAGCUAGCAAAUGGUUGUAUAUACGGAAAGACAGUACGAUGGAUAGAUAUGGCCUAAGAAGUUCUGUCUAGGAGAUUGGGUUUUAAGGGACCGUGUGACCCCUCCAAUCUUUCCUGGGAACUUGCUUAGUGGAAGGAUUAUCCAUACGGUACUAUUUUCGUAUAUGUAACAGUUUGUAAUGAAAUUGUUGAAGACUAGCAGGAUGACGGCACAAGGGGAACAGUUGGGUUCCGUAUGAUCAAGGAUCUGAUGGAGUGGUGAUUUCUUCAAAGAAGCUAGUUUCGGUGACUGUGAUUUCUCGAGGGAAGAAUUGAUGAAGACGCUGAUAAUGGAAGAGAAAUAUAGCAAGGGGAUAAAGAUUGACACCCUAUUUUGAAUUGGACAAGUGUUGUGUCAAGAUGAGCUGCUGUCAAACAUAAGCAAGGAAUAGGGAGAAAUCUAGAGAACAGAAAUUGCACGAGAGCACACGGAGAUUGUGCAGGAGUACCCGUAGGAUCCAACAAGGUACUGUAAUGAGACAACAGGUACAAGGAGAAGAAGAGUUCCCAGAUGAAGCUAAAAGCAGAGACUGUGUAUAAUAGGAAGUCUCUUAUGCUCUUGAUGAAGACAACAGGCGAAGACCUUUCCAAUGCAUGCAAGGAUGGAAAGAUGAGUUGUUGUAGAGGCACCUAAUUGAGGGGAUGCAAACGCCUGUGAUAAAAGGCAACGGUUUAUGAAAGGCAAAGACACCAAAGAGAGUUGGUGUAGGUGGAGCUGUUAAGCGCAAUGAUGAAAGGCGUAGAAGCUCCAAACAUAGAAAUCGAGGUGGAGGAUUGGGAGGAGUAUACCGCAAGUUUCUCUUUCUAUGUAGUUAGUGGCAGUAAUCUCUCUCAAGUCCACAUGGUGGUAGAGAAUUUUGGAGCCACUUUGAAGCAUCUCAGCUGAAGGAGGAUGCGACCGCCUAUGAAAAGGCGAAGACACCUUAGAGAGAAGGUGUGGGCCAUGUAAGCCCAAGAUCAGACGCCCAUGACAACGGGCGAAGACACCUUAGAUAAGGUGUGUGGGCCAUGAUAGGAGCCCCAGAUUCAGAUCGCCCCAUGACAACGGGCGAAGACACCUAAGAUAAGGUGUGAGGGCCGUGAUAGGAGCCCCAGUUCAGACCGCCCCAUGACAACCGGCGAAGACACCUUAGAGAAGGUGUGAGGGCCAUGAGAGGAGCCCCAGUUCAGACCGCCUUAUGACAACAGGCAAAGACACCUUAAAAAAGGUGUGAGGGCCGUGAUAGGAGCCCCAUUUCAGACCGCCGCAUGACGACAAGUGGAGACACCCAAGGAGAAGGUGUGUGGGCCACGAUAUGAGCCUAGUUCAGAACGCCCCAGAGCCAAUGUGAUGGCUAGAUAUGAGUGGACAGGUGUAUAGCCAAUGAAGUGGCUAUGAUGAGUAUGGAGACAAAUGCAGGAUUGACUUCAUGGAUAUUGCCCCCAUGCUAAAGAUCAAUGAGCUAGAAGACAUUUGCCUUGGACAAUAAGUGGAUGACUUAUGGAGCAUUAAGACGCGACUGCUAUGAAGGAGUAGAGGGCAUGUGCAGGUUCCUGGAACAAGUUGACUCUUGUCAAAGUGGUGAGCUCGGUGUAGACAUUGUAAUACUCACAGUAUCAAGACAGAUAUGGAUCAACCUUUAAUGGGUUGCCCCCAUAGGUAAAGGUGGAAAGCUACCUGGACUCUUGAGACUAAGAGUGAGAGACUCAUGGAGAAGUAAGGCGUUGUUUCUAGGGUGGAACAGAGGGCAGCGCAACUCCUGGAUGAGUAGACUCUUGGAAGAGUGGUGAGCUCGUGAUCAUAUUGAGAUACUCAGAUAAUGACUGUCGCACUUGGAAAUAUCCGUUUGAGGGGGUGUUCUAAGCCUUGGUGUGAGGCUUGAUAAAUCAUUCAGGACCGAGCAUGGUUGAUACACUCGAAGGGGAAUGAUGUGUCCCAGAGACAAGCGUUAACACUCUUCAGAUGUGAUGUGGGAGACCAUCUGGUUGCAGUGAUCCUUUUGUGUGAGAAAAGGUGUGCUUUGGUGACUCUGGUGAUUGAAAGGUUUGGCGAGUACCUGUAAACUUGGCCACAGACGCUCUCGGAAUGGUAAGCUUGGAAGAGCUGCAGGAUGCAAGAUUGUGCUGAAGAAGCAAGAGGACAAUUGCCCAUAUAAAUGUCAAAGGGGGUGAUUGUUGGGAUAUUGUCAUUAUUGGGCAACAUGUGCAGCCUACCCUAUAAAGAGUAGGGUUACCAUUUGUCAAUGGUAGUUGCACCCACCAUUGAUAAAUGUAUCAACCCAUGUGCAACUAUUGUUGUUGAAGAAGAACAGCCACCAUCCUUGCCUAUAAAUAGACAGCAAGAGAGCAGAACAAUUGAGAGAGGGAUUGUGAGAAUGUAGAGAGUGUGAAGAGAGAAAGAAAGAGAAGGGCUGCCACCAGCAGCCCUGCUGCCUUAUGCAGCUACUGCCCUAUGCAACAAUGAGAGAUGGGAGUUGACUGGAUGUGAUCCUUCUCCAUGUGUUGUAUUCUUUCUCUAUCUCUAAAUAAAAUGAACCUCUCCCGUGGAUGUAGGCGAUUUUGCCGAAUCAUGUUAAAUAUUGUGUUAGUGUGCUUGCCUUCCGUUGAGCAAAGAUCAGUACAUCACCGGUCGGAUUUCCCAACAGUUAUACUCAUCGAAAACAUGAGUAAAAAAAAAAAAGAAGGGUUCAGACAGUUGCACCCACCAAAGGUUGAGAUGAAAUAAAAAGAGGCAGGAAUUGAAUUCAAAGGUAUUUUUGCUGUAAACAAUUCCAAUCCUUUGUAUGAUUUUUUAGGGAGAAUCUCACUUAUUGAAGAAAAAUAUUGCCAUCAAUUGUUUGACAACUAAGUUGGAAAAUUCUUUGGAAAUGUUUUGAGAAAAUCUUUCAAGGUGCAGGGGUUUUGAUUCAUCUCUUGAAAGGUUAAAACCUUUUGAAUUUUUAUUUUUGAAAAAACAACAUUGUUUACAUCUUGAUUAUGAGUUAUUUCAACAAAGUCAAUAUCAACCAAAAUAAACUCAUAGAAUUUGUUUUGUUUUCAACAUAUUUUCUAAAAUAACUUAUGAAAAUAAUAGCUUCUUGACUUGAAAGGGUUAAAGCUUUUUUUAGGGAAAAUUUGGAGGGUAAUUAACACAAGUGAAAGAACAAGCAAUGGGACAAUAGCGAGAAAAAGAAAAUUAAUAGUUGAAAUAGAGUAGAGCACAAGAAUUCUAAUUUAUAGUUUUAUUGAUGAAGAGAAAAAUUCACUAUUUCUUUUGCCUCUUUAAGAUGUUUUCAACUUUUUAAAUAAUCUAAAAAAUCAAACUAAUCAAACAAGAAAACCCUAAAAUAAAGAUAAAAAAUAUUAAAAUUCCUAAACAAACUUAGAGAAAUAAAAUUACUAUUCUCAAUAUUUAAUUUCCUAAACUAAGUAGAAAAAAUAAAAUCACCGAAAAUAUUUUCCUAAACUACAUAGAAAAUAAUAAUAACUAAGAAAUUUUAAUUUCAUAAAAACCCUUGGCAUCAACAAUAAUGUUGUAAAAGGUGUAUUAAUUUUGGGAUUGAACAAACUAGGGAUUUUGGAGAGAUUAAGAAUAAUUUAUAGGUGAGGUGUUUGGACUAGAUCAUGCUGAUGAAAGGAUUCAAAAUUGAUUAUUUAAGAUACUAGCCUGAAGAAGGUCAAACCCUCCUUGAAAUAAAUAUCUUGAACGCUUGAUGUUGUGGCUUGAAUUGGUCUUGAUGGUGUAAGAGCAUAUGAUUAUUUUGACUUAUUUUGAGCCUAGUAAAGACUCUUUGGAUAAAAGACUCUUUGGAUAAAAGACUCUUUGGAUAAAAGACUCUUUUACUUCUUUCAUUAAUUCAAUCUCGAAAUCAUAUUUUAAUAGAUUAUCUUGUUACCUGGCAAAAAUUUGUUUUGACACAAUAUUUUGAAUAUUUUUUUCAACAACUUAUUUUACAUAUUGACAAUUUAUUUGUAAAAGAAAUUUCUGGAAAAUAAAUCAUCUUGAAAAUAUUAGAUGUAUAAAAUAAUUAAUAAAAUUUUAUUUUUGAUAGUUGAAUAAUUUUCUUGAGGAUCCAACCAAAUACCUAAAUGAUAUUGCAAUAUAUGUUAUUGACUUUGAAAAUUUUGUUUGAGAAUACCACUAUAACUAAUAUCAAAGGCAUCGGUUUCAACUAUAAAAAAGGCCUCUAGAUCAUAAAGUCUUGAACAUGAAAACUCUUGACUUGACUUUUAAGAGUAUUCACAAUUUUGAUCAUUUGAUGAUUGAUUUUAGACAGGAGGGUUUUUCUUAAGUCUUUUGUACAAAGGUUGACAUAUAGUUCUAUGAUUUGGAAAAAUAUCUAAAACAUAAUCGAGGCAUCCCAUAAACUUUUAAAGCUAGGUUUUACCCUUGAUCUUAUUUAUGAAUUUAAUGGUAAAUUUUAUUAUAGUGACAAGGGUUAUUGAUAAAUUAUAAUUUUUAAGGUUGAGAAAACUAAUCUAUUUUGUUUGAUAAUAUUAAGAAACAUUUGUAAGUUGUUCAAAUGUUUGGUUAUUAGUUUUAAAAAUAAAAGAACAUCAUCUAUGUAUAUAAUCAUAAUUUUGAAUAUAGAUUAAAGAUGUCAUUCAUGAUGCUCUGAAGUUUUGAAGGAGUAAUUUUUAGUUCAAAAGACAUUAUAUCUCAUUUGUAAUGACCAAAUAAAAUAAUGAAUGUUGUUUUAUAAUGAUUUUUUUAAUCAAUUUAGACUUGUUAGAAUCUUGAUUUCAUAUCAAUUUUUGAAUAUAUUGAAGAAUUUUAAAGUCUUCUGAUAAGAUCUCUCUUAUUGUGUAUUGGAUAUCUAAUAUAUUGGAGCACUUUGUUGAGAGGCUUGUGAUUUAUGACAUGUCUUAGUGCAUGAUUAGUACUUAAAAGUGUAUUUUAUCAAUGUUUUAUAUUAUCAUUUUGUACUUGAAGUAUCAAUAACUCCUUAACUAGAGCAUGUUUUAUAAUAACAAGUCUGAUAAUAUAAGAUAACUUUAAUUUAUGGUAAAUGCUCAUUUUAAAUACAGACAUAUCUCACAAUCCAAAGGAUUGAUUGCUGUGAUUAACUAUUGAAAGUGAAAAGACAAAGAAAAGGCUAAGCUUAGAAAGGAGAUGCAGAUUCAAUUCAAAUUGGAACACUGUUAAGUUAUUGGGUCAUAUCUGGAGCUACAGUUCUUGGAUUUCAGUUUGGUUUAUAUGGCUAGAAAGAUAAGAAAUAGGCUUACAAUGUUCAUGAAUAGUGAAAGACCCAAAUCUUCCGUUUUCAAAUUCAAAGUUUGGCCACAAAAGAGAAGUUAGAAUCUGUCCUACAAUCCAGCCCAAACACUGCUCAUACUUUUACCCAUAGCUGGAGUUUUAAAAGGAAAAAUGAUGUCAAAUUUGGUGGGUGGAAGGAUAAGACAAUUUUCAAAAACUUUCAUGCAGACGACCUGCUCCAAUUAUGAUGUUAGAAAUGACAUUUCAUCCAGACAAGAGCUUGAGGGAUGUCCACUACGUCCACCAGAAGCACUACUCAGUAUUUUAGCCAUAUCUCAAUCUCUAGUGAUCCAAAUGCUCUAAAAUUUUAUGGAUGGAAAGAGGAGAUGAUUGCAGACAACUUUUAUGAAGAACACUUUGCCAAAUGUUGAUUGAAUCAAUGUCAUUUCAUCCAGCCAACAUGCUUAAGUGUUGUUGUCCACCAAGUCCACUAAAUCAAUAGUUGGCCACUACAUCAAUAAUCAAUUACCAAAUGAAUAGUUCUGAAUUUUAGCCUAUAAAAGGAGACAAUUGCAAUUCAUUUAGGCAUCUUGGUUUUUAGAUCAAGAUCAUGUUCUUGCUCUCUCUUUAUAUUUUUGUAAUGCUUAAGUUUUGCUUUCAUUAAUCUCUUGUUUAUGCUUUUCAUUUUCUUUACUAUACUUAGUUAACUUAUAUCAUGUUUAUGUUCAUAUAUUGUUUAUUUAUGUUUUUCCUUUUCAUAAUGUCGAGCUAAGUUAAUUAUGUCAAGGUGAAAAGGUUUCACUAAUGGUGUUAGAAUAUGUAUAAUAUAAACUCAAUAUGGACUUCAAUGUUUAUAUCCAAGAAAGUUUGUUAUUAAUAUGUCAUAUCUUUUUAUCUUAUUAAUUCUUAAUACCUUGCUUGUUAAAUGGUUAAUCUAGAUUUGUGUUGUAUAACACUUGGUAAAUCAAAUGCUUGAUCCUUCAUAGUCUUCGGUCAACAUCAUUGUUAUGAGAUUAGCAUCAUGAAUUCCUGAUAAUAUUUAAAAGUAUGGUGUUACUAAAAUAAGAUAAUUAAUAUGAUCAUGUUAAAAAUUUAUAAUUAACUUUUACGGAUAAAUCAUCCUAUUGGAACCUCCUUUGUGUGUGGUUUCCAAUUGAGUAAUACAAAGAGUUUAUACUAUACUUAUUUCUAAUACCAUUAGUGGACCCUCUAACCUUGACAUUUGUUUGUAUUAUUGUUUAAUCCUCACAUUAAUCUUAUAUCUCAAAGAUCUCUUUAUAUAUAUAUAUAUAUAUAUAGUUAACUUUCCUGUGGAUCGACCCCGGUCUUGCUGAGUUAUUUAUAACUUUGACACUCCUUCACUUGAGAGAAGACAUCAAUCUUUUGGUCAUGUCAGUGCACUUCUUUCUAUUUCAGCUUGAUUCCAGACAUAAAAAGGUGGCACAUAACCAUGAUGAUUUACUAGGGCUUAUAAGACACUUUUUGAUUAAUUUAAGGUAAUUUCCAAUUAUCAUUGUACGUGACUUUAUCUCAUUAUCAAAGUUUAGGAACUUAAAUGUUUGAAUUUUGAGAGUUAGCUUUAAUAAGGAGAGUUUAAUUUAUAGAUGAAUUUUUGAGAGCUUUUGGAGCUAUGUUUGUAUCCAUGAUUUUGUAAUAUAUUCUAUAGAUGAUGACUAUAUUCAUGGAAUCUUGAAGCAUAUCAGUACAAGUCUUAACAAGUCUCAAUAUUUAGAGCUAAAGUUUUCACUGUAAGGACCAAAUGAAAUAAUGAAUGUUGUUUUAUAAUGAUUUUUUUUUUAUCAAUUUAAACUUGUUAGAAUCUUGAUUUCAUAUCAAUUUUUGAAUAUAUUGAAGUAUUUUAAAGUCUUCUGAUAAGAUCUCUAUUAUUAUGUAAUGGAUAUCUAAUAUAUUGGAGCACUUUGUUGAGAGGCUUGUGAUUUAUGACAUGUCUUAGUGCAUGAUUAGUACUUAAAAGUGUAUUUUAUCAAUGUUUUAUAUUAUCAUUUUGCACUUGAAGUAUCAAUAACUCCUUAACUAGAGCAUGUUUUAUAAUAACAAGUCUGAUAAUAUAAGAUAGCUUUAAUUUAUGGUAAAUGUUCAUUUUAAAUGCAGGCAUAUCUCACAAUUCAAAGGAUUGAUUGUUGUGAUUAACUAUUGAAACUGAAAGGACAAAGAAAAGGCUAAGCUUAGAAAGGAGAUGCGGAUUCAAUUCAAAUUGGAACACUGUUAAGUUAUUGGGUCAUAUGUGGAGCUAUAGUUCUUGGAUUUCAGUUUGGUUUAUAUGGCUAGAAAGAUAAGAAAUAGGCCUACAAUGUUCAUGAAUAGUGAAAGACCCAAAUCUUCCGUUUUCAAAUUCAAAGUUUGGCCAAAAAGAGAAGUCAAAAUCUGUCCUACAAUCCAGCCCAAACACUGCUCAUACUUUUACCCAUAGCUGGAGUUUUAAAAGGAAAAAUGAUGUCAAAUUUGGUGGGUGGAAGGAUAAGACAAUUUCCAACAACUUUCAUGAAGACGACCUGCUCCAAUUAUGAUGUUAAAAAUGACAUUUCAUCCAGACAAGAGCUUGAGGGUUGUCCACUACGUCCACUAGAAGCAUUACUCAGUAUUUUAGCCAUAUCUUUUUAUGGGUGGAAAGAGGAGAUGAUUGCAGACAACUUUUAUGAAGAACACUUUGCCAAAUACUGAUUGAAUUAAUGUCAUUUCAUCCAGCCAAAAUGCUUAAGUGUUGUUGUCCACCAAGUCCACUAAAUCAAUAGUUGGCCACUACAUCAAUAAUCAAUUACCAAAUGAAUAGUUCCAAAUUUUAGCUUAUAAAAGGAGGCAAUUGCCAUUCAUUUAGGCAUCUUGGUUCUUAGAUCAAUAUCAUAUUCUUGCUCUCUCUUUAUAUUUUUGUAAUGCUUAAGUUUUGCUUUCAUUAAUCUUUUGUUUAUGCUUUUCAUUUUCUUUACUAUACUUAGUUAACUUAUAUCAUGUUUAUGUUCAUAUAUUGUUUAUUUAUAUUUUUCUUUUUCAUAAUGUCGAGCUAAGUUAAUUAUAUCAAGGUGAAAAAAUUUCACUAAUGGUGUUAGAAUAUGUAUAAUAUAAACUCAAUAUGGACUUCAAUGUUUCUAUCCAAUAAAGUUUGUUAUUAAUAUGUCUUAUCUUUUUAUCUUAUUAAUUCUUAAUACCUUGCUUGUUAAAUGGUUAAUCUAGAUUUGUGUUGUAUAACACUUGAUAAAUCAAAUGCUUGAUCCUUUAUAGUCUUCAGUUAACAUCAUUGUUAUGAGAGGAACUUGAUUUGUUGUUAACAUAAGUUAGCAUUAUGAAUUCCUGAUAAUAUUUAAAAAUAUGGUGUUACUAAAAUAAGAUAAUUAAUAUGAUCAUGUUAAAAAUUUAUAAUUAACUUUUAAGGAUAAAUCAUCCUAUUGGAACCUCUUUUGUGUGUGGUUCCCAAUUGAAUAAUAAAAAGAGUUUAUACUAUACUUAUUUCUAAUACCAUUAGUGGACCCUCUAACCUUGACAUCUGUUUGUAUUAUUAUUUAAUCCUCACAUUAAUCUCAUAUCUCAAAGAUCUCUUUUAUAUAUAUAUAUAGUUAAUCUUCUUGUGGAUCGACCCCGGUCUUGCCGAGUUAUUUAUUACUUUGAACAAUCUUUUGGUCAUGUCAGUGCACUUCUUUCUAUUUCAGCUUGAUUCCAGACAUAAAAAGGUGGCACACAACUGUCGCACUCGACAUCGCGGCGGCCUUAAAAAUUAAUUCUCGAUUAUGGAAAAAGAACAGAUUUCUGACAUCUUAUUCUUUAAUGGGGAAUGAUCUUGUUUAAGGAGUCGCCACCUAGUAUUAUGGUCACUAGGAACCCUAACUGGUCAACAGAGAUUCUAUGGUUCGGGACUGGUUACAUAAAAGGGAAGAUAUUAUCACCCCUUAAACGUCAUGCCUAAGGCAGGCUGCAUUGCUGGUUUCGUCUUAAAUUGCUAAAUGUUUAUUAAUUUAUGUUAUGAAAAUUUUCUUAUAAUAUUCCUGACUCUGGCGCCAGUGAAUAUUUAACUACGAAUAUUUCCAACUCUGGCGUUGGUAAAUAUUACGUAGCUAUAAAAAUAAAUUUAAAUCAAUAUUUUUUUUAUUCCUGACUCUGGCGCCAGUGAAUAAAUAAAUAAUAAUACAUUUAUUUUUUUUGAAUGCACAUAUUUCUUUUUUUUUUCUAGCUAAAUAAAAUUGAAUAAACAAAUAAAAAUAAUAUAAAUUUAAACCGGUAUUUUUAUUCCUGACUCUGGCGCCAGUGAAUAAAUAAAUAAUAAUACAUUUAUUUUUUUGAAUGCACAUAUUUCUUAUGUUUUUUCUAGCUAAAUAAAAUUGAAUAAAAAAAUAAAAAUAAUAUAAAUUUAAACCGGUAUUUUUAUUCCUGACUCUGACGUUAGUGAAUAAACUAAUAAAUUUACAUUAUUUUUAUUCUCGCAUACACAUUUUUUUUUUCUGUAUUUUUUUUAUCAUUUUUUAUUUUUUUAUUUAUAUAUAUUUUUGGGCUGGGCCCAGCCCAUCAUAUGUUUUUGGGCUGGGCCCAGCUCAGCCCCAGUGACCCGGCUGGGCAAUAAAAAAAAUAAAGGCACGCGUGACUUGUUCACGCGUGCCCGAACACUGGUGAAGGUAAUUAAAUUACCUUCACACAGUGUUCUUGUAACAUUGAAUUGCUUUUUUUGAAUGAAGAUGCAAAGGGACGAAGUCAUACCUGCUUCUGGAGACGAUGAAGAAGGCUGCGAUGCUGGUGGCUGCUGCUUUCGUUCGACUGCUUUCUCUUCUCUCCCCGUUGUGCUCACUGUCUUCCUUUUUCUUUUCUUUUUUUGUUUCCCUGAUAUGUUGGAGGGGAUGAGACGAAGCUGCGGGUGAUUAGUGCACUGUGUUCUUUUUUGUCUGUGUCUCCUUGGUUUCCCAGUCCAGUGCGCUUCCCUCUGUUCGUUCUCCCUGUUUUGUUAUCUGCCUCUCUAUUUUUUUUGUCUCCGAUUCUCGGCCCCUGUUCCCUCUGGUUUCGGUCUCUGCUUCGUCCUCCUGUGGUGUUUCUUUUCUUUGAGAUCGUAUGAUUUUUUUCUGGUUUCUCCUGUUUCUUUUUUUUUUUUCUGGGUUUUGCUCUGUUUUUGCUUGCGUUUUUGGGUUUCUCUUUCGUUUUUAUGCUGGGUUGAUUUCUGCCUUCGUUCCUUGUUCUUAACUUUGCUUUUUCUGGGUUUUCUCCUCUGCCUCUGGUUUGUGUUUUUUGCUUCCUUUUAUAGAGACAACCGAUUGACCCCCCCCUAACCAUCUUCAAGAUUACAGGCGAGAGACGUGGUCCACGAUUUGGAUCGAAACUGUUGCAGAUCUUCAGCCUAUGGAAUCGGGAUGGAGAAGAUGACCAUGGCUGCUCCACCAGCAACGGCAGCGUUUUGGCAGCAAGAGAUAUUUUCAAUUUGACCCCUGAACUUUGGAAAUUCUGCAAUUGAACCCCUAAGCAAAUAAAAAUUUCUUUUAAUUUUGCCCUUUUGGAUAAAUUUCAAUUAAAUCCCUAAAUUGGUGCACUGUUUACAAAACAGUCCUUAAUUCCUGGAUUAUUCAAUUUGAUCCUUAAUUAAUUCUUUCAAUUUUGCCUUUUUUGGAUAAAUUUUAAUUAAGUCCCUGAAUUUAUUUAAUUAAUUAAAUCAAAGUUUAAUUAAGUCCACAAACUUAUUAAUUCUUUUAAUUUCAUUCAUUAAACUAAUCUAAAUUUUAAGUAAAUUUCCAAACUUAUUAAUUCUUCAAUUUUUGACUAAUUUAUUCUCAAAUCUGAUAAUUUUAUCCUUAAACUUCAAAAUUUAUUGUCUUAACUUCAUUGUCAACUAUAUUUAAUUUUUAUUAUUUGUUUAAAAAUUAUGUUAUGACAAUAACCAUGAUGAUUUACUAGGACCUAUAAGACACUUUUUGAUUAAUUUGAAGUAAUUUCCAAUUAUCAUUGUACGUGACUUUAUCUCAUUAUCAAAGUUUAGGAACUUGAAUGUUUGAAUUUUGAGAGUUAGCUUUAAUAAGGAGAGUUUAAUUUAUAGAUGAAUUUUUGAGAGCUCUAUGUUUGUAUCCAUGAUUUUGUAAUAUAUUCUAUAGAUGAUGACUAUAUUUAUGGAAUCUUGAAGCAUAUCAAUAGGAGUCUUAACAAGUCUCAAUAUUUAGAGCUAAAGUUUUCACUAUAAUAUCUAGGUUGAAUAAUGAGAUAGUGAAAUUUGGAUAACAAUUCAAGUAUGUAGAACCAUUAGCAAGAUUUGAUUGAAAGAUUGUAAGGAGUGAGUUUGAAGAGGUCAUAAAUUUAUGGUCUCUUGAAAACAUGAGUAUGGGAGAGUCUAAUCCGAGAUACUACAAUAUAAAUUAGACGGUGAUCAUUUUUAGUUUGGUUUGUUUUUAAAAAUCAAAACCGGUUCAAACUUUGAAAUUUUUAUAUAUGUUCGUUCUAUGUAUAUUUGUUUUCAAGCUUUGAAAUUUUUAUAGCUCAAUUAUUAUAAUUUUUUUAAAUUUUUUUAUGUGGGAAAAGAGUAUCAAAAUUGUGGGAAAUAUAUAUUAGAAUAUUUCAUGGACUGCACUGCUCUAUGAUUGUGCAUUUAUAGCCCAAUUAUUAUUAUUUUUUCUUUUUCCUGUUGAUUGCAUUUUGGAAUCCAUUUGAUUAGACAUAAUUUGAACUGGAAGAAUGAAUUGGGUUCACCUUCAUUUGUUCUGUUUUAAUGUGACUGAGAGCCUUAUUUUUUAAAAUGUAUUGUCACUCAUUUAGAUACUGGCUAAGUAGAGUUUGCAGUCAGAUUAACAUACAGCAUGCAUUCAUUCCAUUAAGCCCUAAUGGAGUGAAUGAAUAAAAUGACUUCUAUUAAAUGUUCCUCUACUACUUGGAUGCUGAACUGGAUAUUGGAGGUUCCCACAUUGCCCAUUGUUGGUAAUUUAGCACUCUGAAACAGAAGCUAGUCAAUAGGCGUCUAUAAGUUGUACAGAGAUUUUACAAUAGAAACUAUUCAAGUAAGAUUUUGGUGCAAUCAGUGUUCUAUAUGCACGAACAAAUUUGGGGCUUCACUGUACUACCUCAGAUACUCUCAAAAAAUGCUUCUUGGAAUUCGGAAGUUUAGACGAUCAUCGGUUGAAAUGAUGUUACCGUUUCUCUUUCUGAACGUUAUUUCCAGGUUGGAAAUUCAAGUAAUUAGUUCAAAUCCUAGAAGAUGAGUGGUGGCUUAGAAUGCUGUGAAAAAAUCGUUCCCUUAUUCAUUUUUCAAAAUAGAAAAGACAUAACUUUUUGCUUGAACUUCUAGAAUAUAAAAAAAUCUUACUUUUAUAUCUAGACACUUUCCAUCUAUGAUCUUUAAAUCUGAAGACAUAUCAUCGAUCUGGUUUUAAGAAAGUGCUAUUAACAUACCAAACUUUAUUAGAUUGUUGUUGUGCACUUAGGAAGAAAUAAAAUACUUGUCCUCCUUUAUUGUUUUCAAUAGCAUGAUCAGCUUCAUAGUUUUCUACGUUGUCUUUUUUACUAGAAGUACCUUCGUGAAUGUUGGGAAUUUCUGUCUUUUGCAUCUAUACCAGCACUCUUUUACUUGGUGUCCACCUCAUUUUCAAGUUCAUAAGUAGGAGGAAUGAAUGUAAAAAUAUAGCCAUUUUUUUUUCUGGUUUUUUGCUGGGAUUUUUAUUUAAAAUUUGACACAAGUGUUUAUAUAUAAACAUUUUGAUUUUUUUGUUUCCUAAUCGACGAGGAAUUCCACUCACAAGUAAUAUCUGUACAUUUUUUCUCAUGUUUGGUUAAGGCUAGGAAAGUGAAACAAAAAUCAUGUUAUGCUGUAUAAAAAGGUAAUGUAAGUGACUGGUUUCACCAUCACCGGUAAAGUGUCUGUAAUGACUGGUAUGGCCUGUGGGCUACAUUAUGCUUAGAUCCGUUAAAAUCAUGUAUGUAAUGACUGGCUAUGAAUGAGGUUUUUGUAAUUUUUAAAAAAUAAUAAUAAAUUCUGUGAUGUCCAAAGUACACUUAUUAUGGGCUUGAGGAAGUAUUAAUUUAUAUAGUUAACAUCUGGCCUUCCUCAUGUUUUUGCUUAUUUAUUGAAGUCACAAAGUUCUUUGUUCAUCUAUGGUGACACCUGUGUAGUUUAAAGUAAGGGCCUAUCAGAGUACACAGUUGUUAUAGCAUAAUUUUGAGAUACUUUCUUAGGGAUCGAUUGAGAUUUUUAUUGGCUGAGAACUCCCUAUAAGGUACUUGGAUGGUCAGCCAACAAUUUAGUGAUAUUUGACCGAGGCCUCUCCUGUUUUUGAAACUUCAAUGGUAAUGACCAUAGUUCAUUUUUCAACGCUUUGAUUAUAUAAAUUUUUUCCGGCUAGUCUUAUAGAGGACCUACUAUCUACUAUCUGACCACAUGUCAGCUUGACUCUGUUUGUUGCUGGUAUUAUUAUUUUGCUUGUUGAUUGCAUUUGUUUUUCUAUGCAAGAUGUUUUUCAAGCAAUUGCUAUCUAUUUGUAUGUCUGAAAUAUGCUAAGUUUGAGAAUUCCUUUCUUUUCUCCAUUCAGAGCGGUUGUGUGCAAAGGAUGAAUAGAUGUGAACCUGCUAUUGAUCAAUGGUAGAGAUUCGGUUCUGAAGGUGGCUUGAUCAAGUUAUCUUUGGAGUUGGCAUUUUUACACAGGCAGAUGAAAUUUUUGUUGUAUGCCACUGAGGAGCGAACCUCCUAUUGAAUCUGGAUUAGUUACAGAAUUUUAAAGACUUUUUAAUCCGCCUGAGAUUCUAAGCACCGAUUCUUUUACUCUCCCUAGGAACGCAAGGUUAGGAUAAAUGAGUCAGUUAGAUGCUCCACUGGUAUAUCCAUUUUUCAUUUUGCAUAGCUAGUGUAUGCUUGCAGCAAAAUAUUUUAUCCGUUGCAAUUAUAUUGUGAUUUUUCCAUUUUGAACUCGAGAAAUUUUAGUGUAGUAUCUGGAAGACCACAGAGUUACGUGCUUCGGCAGAAACAGUUGUAUACCUGAAUGAAAUCUCUUUUCAAUAAUAAGGUUUGAUUACUCUUUGGAACUCAUUUCCAGUGCAUGGUUCUCUAGUUACAUGCAAAAGUUGCAGGUUGUUUAAAAAUGGUGGUUAUUUUGGUUUUGGUGAUUUAAGCACUCAUUACUGCAAUAUCAGCAAUGAGAAAAAGCAACUACUGAAAAUUGCUCUUAAUGGUGAAAGCAUUAUGCAUCAGGCUUCCUCGGAGUGAAGGCUAGCCAUAGAUGCUUUUGUUUACUGAAGGUGUUAUUUGCAGCAGUUGCAUCUGCCUGCAUAACUGUUACUGGCUUCCAGCUUGGAUAAUUAGAUGGUGAUGUUGGAUUCUGUUGCAGCAAAACAGUUCUUGUGCUGGGAUUCUGAUGAAUCGCGGUGUGAUUUUUGUACUUAAUGUCAGAAGGUAAUGCAUAUCAUCCAUAUUGAGUUAUUCAUCUUCUUUAGGGAGCAAUGAACAUAAGUGGAUAAUGAGAUUUGGGAUUCAUGCUUGGAAAUGUUCUCACGUUUUGGGUUCGAAGGAUUGAAACAAUCUGCACAUUUCUUCUUUCUCUUGGUUCUUUGAAGUGAUAAACUAACUGUAAUAUUAAAUGUGUGAAAAUGAUUGCGGUUCAAAGUGCUUUUGGUUUAAAAAUACAUUAAAAUAAUAUAUUUUUUUAAAAAAAUAUUUUUGAUAUCAGGAUAUCAAAACGAUUUGAAAAUAUAAAAAAAAUAAUUUUAAGCAAUUUUUGUUUCUUUCAAAUUUUGGUGGAACGUGGUUUGAACCGCAUUUCUAAAUGGGGUCUAAGUAUAAAACUAAAAGGUAUGAGUUUUUCACCAUGCAUGAUCUUACUAUUCAUUUUCUCAUGUAUUACUGUCAAUGAACUGUAAAAACUUUUUGUUUUUUCAAUUUGGUUCUUAAACUUCAUUUUGAGCGAUUUAGUCCUCAUUAAAGGCCAAUUGAUUUUGAUUUCUUAUGAAAAAAAUAAGAUUGAAAGAAGAGAGAUCUAAAUGAAAAAGGCAUCAAACAUGAUGACAUGCUUUAAGUUUUGAAAAUGAUGCACUUUGGUCCUCAAAUUUAAAAAAACACAGAUUAUAUAAUUUUGAUACCUUAAUAUUUUUCAAUUUAAGUUUGGUAUGAAAGUUUAUUUUUGUUAUUUUUUUAGUCCAAGGUUAAGAGUGGAGAGAGAAGUCGCUGGAUUCCAACGGUAGAGAGAGAAUCAUGUCGUUGGCAUUGAUUUAGACUAUUAAAACGGAUGAUAUUUGUGUCAAAUAACUUUUUUGAAUUGAGAGAAAUGCGUUGAAAAAACCUGCAUAUAUAAUGUUUUUAUAGAAAAUAAAAAUAUUUGACCUGUAAAGGAGCACAAGUCAUAUAACUACUAGUAGUACUAAAUUGAAGUGAUAAAAAAUAAUAUAAAGCACAAGUAAAUUGCAUAGAUAAGUCAUCAAUGACACAAACCCCUCCAUAUAUAGAUAAUUGAGCAUCGAUUCUUAAGUUUAGGGAGACACAUGGUGGCCAUGUAAGUCUAUACUGGAUCCAUGCGCUUGCAAGUAAUGAUGGAUUCUCAUGAGUCCUAGAAUUCAACAUGCUUAAGAAUAUAACGGACGUGUUGGAUAAUUUGUUGAUUUCUUAGUUCAAGUAAUCUGAUCCAUUCUUCAUAGUUAAUGUAUCUAGUGACUUGAUAUGAAAAGCCUAAAGGGUUGGUAACUAGUAGCAGGUGAUGUCUGGCAAGCCAGGUGACUGGUAGUUGGUACCUAUAAAAGGUCCUCUUUGAUGGAUUUGGAGAUUCUUCGAUAGUAAAGUUAGUAACUUUAUAGAGAGAGAAGAAGCAAUAAUAUUUUAGAGAGAGAUACUCUGAAAAUAUAUACAUAGUAGAGAAUGAAGAUAUUGUGAACCUUUGACUUGAAGGAUUUAUGGUGUAUUUAUAGCUCAUGAAUCUUAUCCUUUUUGUGGAGAGGAGGGACUGAAGUGUAAUUUCAAUAUUAUAAUAUUUUGAGUUGUAUUCUACUUAAAAUAAUACGUAUUUGAUCAAUAUAAAAUAUUGAGAGACUUGUAUGGGGUCCAGAAAAAAUUCUCUAACGAAUGUUGGGCUUGGGCAGGGUGCACGAGCCUAUUGGAGGUGAAAGUGGGUUCAAGAGCACUACUUAGACCCAAACAUACUGGGCUUGGUAUGACAACUUGUGCCCAUGAGGGCUAUAAGGUGCGCGCCCAUGAGGGCUAUGGGGUGUCUGCCCAGCAUCACCUAGGCGUACGCCUUACAUUGGUGUACACCUAUUGGGGUGCAUUAGGUGUACAUGCAUGUACUGUGCAGACGCCUAAUACAUUGUAUAGUGCCCAUGCACUUGGCGUCCAUAUGCCUAUGCAGGGAGCAUGCUCUUGGUGUGUGAUAGCUCGAGCUCGUGUUUCUUGGAUGUUUUUUGAGCUUUUUUUUUUACGAUUUUUUUUGGAUCAAUUUUGGAGAAUUUUUUAGAUUUAUUUUAUUUGUAUCCAUCAGAUUCUAUUAUCAAUUUAAAAAUUUUGAAGUGAUAGAUUAAGAAUAUAUAUUGUAUAUAAGUUCCUCAUUUUCCAUUCCUAACCCAAUAACACAUCUUGAAACACUAAACUGGCGUGAACCUUAAAAUAGAAAACUAAAUUUUAUUGAAAGUUUACCCCUUUCACAAUAUCUGACAAAGCAAUGGAUAGCUUCUACAAAGAGGAUUUUUUAGGAAAAUUUAUUUAUUUUCUUAUUAUUUUUACUAUUUUUUCUAUUUAGUGUAAGAAGUUAAAUUUUAUGUUAAUAUUUUUAUUUUUUCUAGUUUAUUUAGAAUUUUUAUUACUUUUGUUUUUUGUAUUUUUAGGUUUUCUAGUUUGUUUAGGUUAGUUUUUAGGUUUAUCUAAGAAGUUGUAAACCUCUUAGUGAAAAAGGCUAUAAGAACAUAAAAUAUUCAGUAAUAAAAUUAUAAAUUAGGAUUUUGCGAGAUAGUUUUAUUUGGCUUCAAUUAUGUAUUUAUAGCUUAUUGUUUUUUUUUUUGUUUCUAGUUAGUUGAUAUUAAUUACAGUCCAACGAUACCAAUUGUUAUUUGCUUGUUAUGUGCUUAAAUAACUAUGACUGGAAGGGGUAGUAGAAUAAGACAUGCUCGUAUAGGAGUGGAUGAAGAGGUUCCCCUUGAGAAAGAGAUGUUUAAAAGAUGGUGAUAGAAGACAUGCAACGAUAAAUUGCAAAAUUGAAAAGAGAUUUUGGGAUGAUAUAAGACAUGCAUAAAAAAUUGCAAUAUUAACCCAUUAGUUGGAAGAGGUAAGGAGCCUAGGGUAUCUUGAGAAAAGUGAUCAUGGAUCUAUUGUUAAUUUUGAGAACUUGUUUAAAAGACAGUAAGCAAAUAAAAUAACUUGUUGAUUGGGAUGAAUAUGAUAUUGAAUCUAAAAUUUUUGAUAACUCUAGUUUCUUAGUGGACUAGAAUCAAAUACUAAAAUUUGACGAGGAUAAUGAAAAUGACGGCAAAGGAAAAGAUUUAAAGGCAAAUUUUUUAAUUAGUGAUCUCCACGAGAAGAAAUCAAAAUUAGAUGUGUGUUUAAGAAAAAUUUUAGAAUUAAUGAGGUGAAAGCUGAUGCUAUUGCAAUUCAGCUCAUGCAAGACUUACAAGUCGUUGGCAGUAUCCAAUUCGAAUAUUAUAGACUUCGUCUAAGGUAGUUUACAAAGAAAGUACCCUUAAGACGUGAUUAUAAUAAAAAGUCUAUAUUUCCUGAAAAACAGAAAAGAAAAACACUACAAAGCUGAGAAAGGCAGACAAUAUCGAUUGUCAAAAUCUGAAGGAUACUCAAAUGAGUUUCGGAAAUAUUGAGGAGGGUGUAGGAAAACCUGAAAAUGUACGAGAGAACACAACCCCAUCAUGGGUUGCUGUAAUAUGAUAGAAUGGAAUGAAAAACAUAUUGGAAUGAGCAAUAACUAUUACUUGAUUUUUCUAUUUUCUGGUUGUGUAAUUAUCAAUCUGUAAGUGUUACAUAUUGAUCCCGUCUACACUGGCAUUUUUCUCAGCAGAUUGUUGAAGCUGCAAUGCAAAUUCAAGGCCCCAAACGACAUCACCCAUUUUAGGGCGUUCAAUUCCUUGACCAUGUAAGCAACUGUUAGCAAUCUCUGCAAAGUUAUUUAAAGAGACAGGGGAAACCUCGCCCUUUAAAUGUGGAUCCACGAUCUGAUCAAGGGUUCCUCUUUGGUAACAUUUUCGUGCCCAGUCAGCUAAGCUUGCUUGAUCUUUCGGUGAACCUGGAAUCACUGGUGGCCUUGCACAUAGCACCUCAAACAAAACCACACCGAAUGAAUAAACAUCAGAUUUCUCUGUCAGGUGUUGCCUACGGUAGUACUCUGGAUCCACAUAUCCAAAGCUACCUCUAACUCCAGUGCUAACAUGGGUUUGGGAUGUACUAGUGGGACCUAAUCUGGACAGCCCAAAAUCUGAAACCUUAGCCACCCAAUUCUCAUCUAACAAUAUGUUUGUUGACUUCACAUCACGGUGAAUGAUUGUGUGCUUUGCUCCUGAAUGAAGAUAAUGCAACCCUUUAGCAGCACCGAUGCAUAUUUCUAGCCUUUGCUUCCAUGGAAGAGGAGAGUUCUUUGUUUUGUAUAGAUGUUCUCUAAGAGUGCCUCUUGACAUGUAAUCGUAUACAAGGAUCAUCUCGCCAUGAUCAUCACAGUAUCCAAUCAGUGACACUAGAUGAAGGUGGCGCAGAUUGGAUAACAUCUCAAUCUCUGUCUGGAACUCACGUGUCCCUUGCUUUGAUGAUGAAUCUAGUCGUUUGAUGGCUACUGCGAUGAAACCGUAUUCAAUGUAUCCUUUAUACACAGUACCAAAUCCCCCUGAACCAAUAAUAUUUUGAUCAUCAAAGUUUCCUGUUGCUUCGUUGAUUUCGAAAAAUGUAAACCGUCGGCAAAGAUCAGUAGGUAGUGAUGAAGAGAUUGUAGUCGUGGACCUAGAUGUUUGUGAUAUUAUAGUACAGGAGGAUUUUUCCUCACUCUUGCUAGGGUCCUCGACUCGCUUCUGCUUGAAAGCAAAGAAAUAAAGAAUAAGAGAGCAAGCAAAUACUGCACCUAUGGAACCUCCAACGAUGGCUAUAACCGUAAGUAUUGAUGAUCUUUUGCCCGUUCUUCUGUCUUGUAGACUUGGAUGUUGUUCUGCUGGUGGAGGAGCCACUGUUGGCUCAGGGUUGAAUCCUGCAAGAUUUCCGCCUGUUCUAUUCAGCUUGAAUAUUUCCAAGCCAUUCAAGAUUGCAUCAGCGUAAGUAGGUUUCAGUUCCAUGUUAGGGUGUAGUUCGAGCCACAAGCCCUGCUUGCUCUGGCUCCCUGGAGGGACCCGCACCAUGUAGUCUUUGUAAACUGGAAUGCCGUUGCCACCGCUCAUAUGGAUCACAUCUGCAUCAUCCUGUGCUGUUUGAUUGUUGAUGAAUAUUAAAAAUACCUGUUGAUUUUCAUUUUUGAACUCCAUUCGAGUCUCACAAAAGUGGAGCCUAAGGAGAUAAAGGAAACCAGCAUCAACUGGGAAGAUCCAUGUGAGAUUGUAAUUCAUGUUAAGACGUGGUUCAGGACCCAUAGAACGCAUAGUACUAUAUACCAUAACAGGUGCCGAGUAAGCUGGCGUUUUGGUUGUGUACUUUAUCAUAACGCCUGGGAGAUAUGGAAUGUUUCCAGCUUGUCUAAAGAGAUACUCUGAAUCUUGAUGCCAUGUCCUGUACAUUCCAGUGUCUCCAGUGCUGCUGAUAUCUUGCCCCCCAACAUUCAGUCGAUAAACUGUCUCAAGCGCAGUUGUGUUAUACAGAAAGGUGUGGACAUCGGGGCCCACAUAGGUCAGUGGAUUAUCAUCGCCACGAGCAUAGAAGCUGUCUGGCAUGGAAACGAUUUCGAUACCAUUAAUGAAGGCAAAAGAUGCUGGAGACGGAAUGAAGGUUAAUUCAAGCUUCUGGUUGUCCCACACGGUGAUGAUGAACUCUUUGGUGAAGUAGUCAACUGGAGGUCUUAUAGCAGAAAUUAACUGUAAGAGAGGCACUAAAGUUGUUUAGUAGCUUGUAGUUGUUGGCACUAAGCGAAAAAUAGGAUUUGGAUAUGUCAAGAUUUGAGUAAGAAGCUGGAUAAAAGUAGAGACGCACAAAUUUUGGGCCAGGCAAGACUGGAAAUGUGUAAGUGAAUUUAGAGUGAAAAAUACGGGCUGUCAUGUAUGGGACUUGGUCGACAGAGGGGUCUUGAGUGGAGGCUUCAAACACAGAUGAGGCUUCUGGGGGGUUAGAGGCAGCAAACUUAGACUGGGAAUCACCAUCCCAGCUGCGACCAUCUGGAGAUGACAAAUUAGAGGAUGCACCACAGUUAAGGAGUAUUAGAUCAGUGGGGCUGUAUGGCAGCAAGUAAUCUUCAGUAGCAGUACCAUAGAGGAAGAGAUGGAGGGGAGGGAGAAGGUAGAGAAAGAUGAAGAUGGACAUUACUAUGCUAGUUCUUUGGUGGAGUAAAUUGGAGUAAGAAAAAAUAUCUAUUAAAUGCAAAGAUUUUGAUUUAAGGGAAGAUAAUCAAUGGUGUCGCUGUCUCCAUACAGUAACAUUUUUGCUCAGGUUGAGAAUAAUCCAAUAAUAUAUUUGAGACCCGUCGGAGAAGAAAAUUCGACGAUAUGGCUAAUGGGACAUAUUGGUCAGCUUUGGAUGGCUGCUUCCCGUUGUGUGGUUCUGAAUUCCGCAAUAAAGCCGCAAUGAACAAUCUAAUUUCAACAAAGGAUCGACCUAUUCCUUUUUGGUUCAUGAGUGUGCCUUUUUGGGCUGAGCUUAUAACCAAAAAUCUUCUCAUCUGGUAUAGUAAUCGCUUACUGCAAAACUUGGUGGUAAUGAGAAAUCUUUCUUCCCCUUAAUCGAAGAAUAAUGGAUUUACCUCUUGAUAUAUCUGGGACAUAUUUGGUAUCUAUUAGAAAAUAAUAUAAAUUAUAUAUUGAAAUUUUAUUUAAAAAUUUAAGUAAUUGGGUUGAGAUGGUUCUUUGAUAUGAUAUCAGAGUCUUAAUGACAAAACAUGCAUGAGAUUAAAUCUCAUCAUUCUCAUCUAUUUGAUAAAAAUUAAGCACAAGGUAAUGUGAGCCUAUGCAAGUUUAAAGCUCAAAAGACUUUCACUUGAAAGAGUGUGUUAGAGAAUAAUAUAAAUUAUAUCUUGAAACCUCACCUAAAAAUUUAAGCUAUUGGAUUGAGAUAGUUAUUUAACAGUACAUAAUAAAAUCAAUAGCAACAGUGAAGAAGAGGCAAGCUGUCCUCUCUUCCCUGGAGAUGGUAAUUUGCUCUCUCUCAUCCUGUUAAGCUUGAUUUCCAUACAUGAGGGGAAACUGAAUGGAGUUCUCGGUGGAUGAAAAAUAAUUGGAAUAAUAAAUGAAAUGAAAUUGAGUUUCAUUGUUGAAAAAAUCAUGCUGAAAUCACUUCAAUCCUAAGGAAAAUACAAGUCUUCUACAAUGAUCAGGUCUAGCAAAUGUUCUUAUCUUGUACAAACACGACACCUAAUGCAAACCUGUGAACAUUCCAAGAUCUUUUUUUAAACUUCAUUGCUUGCAAUAGAUCAAGGAAGCUUCGCCAUUAAUUAGUGCACGAGAAAGACAAUCACUAGAUAUCGUAUCAACAUAGCAAUUGCUUGCUAUUUUCUUCAAUUAUAAAUCAUUAUAAAGUAUAUACAAAUUUUAUUGUUAUUGUUGGGAUAUUGCCAUUAUUGGGCAACAUGUGCAGCCUACCCUAUAAAGAGUAGGGUUACCAUUUGUCAAUGGUAGUUGCACCCACCAUUGAUAAAUGUAUCAACCCAUGUGCAACUGUUGUUGUUGAAGAAGAACAACCACCAUCCUUGCCUAUAAAUAGACAACAAGAGAGCAGAACAAUUGAGAGAGGGAUUGUGAGAAUGUAGAGAGUGUGAAGAGAGAAAGAAAGAGAAGGGCUGCCACCAGCAGCCCUGCUGCCUUAUGCAGCAAUGAGAGAUGAGAGUUGAGUGGAUGUGAUCCUCCUCCAUGUGUUGUAUUCUUUCUCUAUCUCUAAAUAAAAUGAACCUCUCCCAUGGAUGUAGGCGGUUUUGCCGAACCACGUUAAAUAUUGUGUCAGUGUGCUUGCCCUCCGUUGAGCAAAGAUCAGUACAUCACUGGUCGGAUUUCCCAACAAUUGGUAUCAGAGCUGAUGGUUUAAAGUGGUGUUUGAUUUUUGCUCAAAAAAUGAAAGUUGUCAAAAUUGUGUUUUGACCAUACCACCGUGUAGAGGAGGAAGAGACGAAGCCACUGUUGAAAACUGCGUUGAAAUCGGACGUCGGACAUGGCCGCACGUGCCGUCACGCGCCAGCGUCACACGUGUCUUCUUCGCCCGGAUGGGCUGACCCGACCCGAAUACCAGACGACCCGACCCACGUGGCUGACUCGGAUAAGGAUGACAUCAGUAUGCCGUAAUUAUGACGUCAUCAUGCACAGUAGCAUGGCCCAGGAUGACAUCAACAUGAUGUAAUGGUGGCGUCAUCAUGCACAGUUAGCACAUUGGACCCACUAACACGUCAUCAGCCGUGAGCCGAGCUGAUCCGAGCGGCGAGCCGAGGGAUAGGAUUCUGUGCAGCUGAGUCUAUGUGCAAUCGGAUCUGAGAUUGAAUCUGAGCCGUUGAUCAAGCCAGAAUUGUUUUGAUCAAAGCUUAGCCGUCUGAAGUGCGAUUUGGACGAUUCAAGACAUGUUUCCAGCUAAUUUGAUCAUUCCAGAUGCAAUGGUACGGUCCGAUCAUUGAGAUUUGAGACCGAAAAUGGCGGUGGUGAAUUAUUAAAGAGAGAUUGCCCGAUCAGGAGGCAUCUGAGGGUCUUGAUGGAGGUCGAUGAAGAUGAUGAAGAAGAAGGUGCACAUGUUUUCCCAAUUAUAUGUGUUGAACUAUUAAAUGGGAAAAUGUAAUGCCUUGAUGGAAGGCAAAAUUAGGACACUCUGGACACCCAGUUAUGUGGACAAUUAGAGGUGGAGAGUGAAAAUUGACGAAGACCAAUCUUGACGAAUCUAAGCACUGGUAGUCUCGCUAGAUGUUGAGAAAUCAGGUAUAAAACCAAGAUACCCAGAUCACUUGUAAAGGAAAGCCGCAACAAAGCUAGCAAAUGGUUGUAUAUACGGAAAGACAGUACGAUGGAUAGAUAUGGCCUAAGAAGUUAUGUCUAGGAGAUUAGGUUUUAAGUGGGACCGUUGUGACCCCUCCAAUCUUUCCUGGGAACUUGCUUAGUGGAAGGAUUAUCCAUAUGGUACUAUUUUCGUAUAUGUAACAGUUUGUAAUGAAAUUUUUGAAGACUAGCAGGAUGACGCCACAAGGGGAACAAUUGGGUUCCGUAUGAUCAAGGAUCUGAUGGAGUAGUGAUUUCUUCAAAGAAGCUAGAUUCGGUGACUGUGAUUUCUCGAGGGGAGAAUUGAUGAAGACCCUGAUAAUGGAAGAGAAAUACAGCAAGGGGAUAAAGAUUGGCACCCUAUUUUGACUUGGACAAGUGUUGUGACAGGAUCAGCUGCUAUCAAACAUAAGCAAGGAAUAUGGAGAAAUCUGGAGAACAGAAAUUGCACGAGAGCACACGAAGAUUAUGCAGGAGUACCCGUAGGAUCCAACGAGGUACUGUAAUGAGAAGUUUAUUAUGUUGUUGUUGAAGAAGAACAACCACCAUCUUUGCCUAUAAAUAGACAACAAGAGAGUAGAACAAUUGAGAGAGGGAUUGUGAGAAUGUAGAGAGUGUGAAGAGAGAAAGAAAGAGAAGGGUUGCCACCAGCAGCCCUGCUGCCUUAUGCAGCUGCUGCCCAAUGCAGCUGCUGCCCUAUGCAGCAAUGAGAGAUGGGAGUUGAGUGGAUGUGAUCCUCCUCCAUGUGUUGUAUUCUUUCUCUAUCUCUAAAUAAAAUGAACCUCUCCCAUGGAUGUAGGUGAUUUUACCGAACCAUGUUAAAUAUUGUGUUAGUGUGCUUGCCUUCCGUUGAGCAAAGAUCAGUACAUCAUCGGUCGAAUUUCCCAACAGUUAUACUCAUCAAAAACAUGAGUAAAAAGAAAGAAGAAGGGUUCAGACAGUCACCCUACACGUAGAGCAAACUGAUCCACCCAUCUUGGUGGAGCUCACAUAGACGGAUUGGGUCACCUUGCGCUUUAUAGGUCGCUGUUGAAAUCGAAACCCACGCAGACAGAUAAAGAACCGACCCCUUUGUCCCCUCUUCCUCGAUCAACUACCAUGUUUGCAUCGAUUGUAGCAAGUGCAAGGCCGAGAGUUACCAUUGAUCGGUUUUGCACAGUUGCCAUAUAUUUGUGCAUUGCAAAUUGGUUGUCGUUCUAAACUCUUAGGCCAUGUUUGUUUCCUAAAAAGUAGUUUUUGGGAAAUAAUUUUCCAGACUUUCUUAUGUUUGUUUACUAUUAGAAAAGUUGGUCAAAUGAAAACACUUUCCGGUCAACGGAAAACACUUUUUAGUCAAAGAAAAUUUUAGCUUGGUUUUCAGGAAAGUGUUUUCCAUUUUAGCGGUGUUUAUUUUCUGAAAAGUGGUUUCCAGGAAAUCACUUUCCAAACUUUCUUGUGUUUGUUUGCCAUUAGAAACGUUGGUCAACAGAAAAUACUUUCCAGUGAAAGGAAAAUUUGACUUGGUUUUCAGGAAAGUGUCUUCGUGGAAAAUUUGGGCGGAAAACACGUUCCGAAAGUUGUGAAAAAUUUAGAAAUGUCAUUAUUUGCUGAUUAUAUCAAAUUUGAUCCUUAAACUUUUGAUUGCUAUAUAUAUUUUGUUUUGAAUAUUUAUUUUUCAAUUUCAUCUCUUAAAAUUUUUAUUUUAUAUUAACUUUGGUCCUUAUUUUUAUAAUUGCUAUUUUCUUUUUCCUUAUCAUUUUUUUAUUGAAAUUUUUUAUCUAUCAAAUUUGGUCCUCAUUCUUUUGAUUGUUACUUAAUUUUUUAGAUUUGAUCGAUAUUAUUUUGAUUAUUAUUUAUUUUAUUUGAGAUAAUUUAUGAAAUUAUAUUUAUUUUUUCAAUUUCAUUCAACUUUUUAAUUUAUAAGAUUUGUUCCUCGUUAUUUUAAUAAACUUGAGAAAAAUAAAAUAUUAAUAAGUUAUUUUCCAACUCAUUUUCCAUGACAUAACCAAACACUGGAAAAUGUUUUCCAACUUAUUUUCCAUUACACUACCAAAUAUCGGAAAAUACUUUCUCGGAAUUCACUUUCCGAAAAGAAACUACUUUCCAACAAACAAACGGGCCUUAUAGUUAAUAUAGUUACCUUGAGAGGCCAGUAGUCUCUGAUGCACUUCAGAUUCCAUAGAGAACUCCUCUUCAUUACCUUCACCGAUUGUGGCAUUGAAAAUUGGACUCGAGUUUGCUUUCAAGAAAGGCAGCUGCAGAAGCAGAUGUGAUCACCAAAACAAGCAGGAUAGUUAAAGAGAGCCACCAGAGGAAUUCAAUACUUACGUUAGGCCUCGUCUCUUUCUGUCUGUACCCUUCUGUUACAGAGUUUGAAGAGCACUAAAUAAACGUCACUGCGAAGAAUGCUUCGAACUCUGGAUAUGGAGUGAAAGGCUAGCUUUUUUCCAUUGACUUGCUUUUUUUGUGAAGACUUAGGUCUUCACAUGAAUGUGAUUUUGAUGUUUUAUACUAUCUUAAUCUAAUAAUUUAAAUUAUUAGAUAAAAUUAUAAAAUAUGAUAUAUAUUGUUCAAGAAUAUUUGACAAAACAUCCAGCCACUUAUAUAUAUAUAUAUAUAUAUAUAUAUAAGAUCAGGACCAUAAUCUGGAUUUUCGUUAGUGAAUUCAUCCUCAUCGGAACUUGAUAUUUCAUAUAAGGCUUCUUGGAGUUUUUUCUUGUAUUCUGACGUUGAGCUUGAUGAUGCAAGGUUUUCUUGAAUUCAACUUUUAGAGGUGAGAAACGUAAAUUGCCUUCUUGAGAUAGAGUUGAUGGGUAUGCUUGCAGCUAUGGAAUUUGAUGUGAUGAGAUUAUUGCCAAGCAUGCACAAUUUCAGAACAAGCUUGAGCUUCUCUGAAUUUGGGUCCACCAUUUGACUUUGAUUUUUCUCAUGAGAUCUAAAGAGUAACCAAUAUCUUUAUUUACAUCAUUCAUUAUAAUGGAGUCCCAAGAUAGCAUGAGACACCAAAGGUUGAGAUGAAAUAAAAAGAGGUAGGAAUUGAAUUCAAAGGUAUUUUUACUGUAAGCAAUUCCAAUCCUUUGUAUGAUUUUUUAGGGAGAAUCUCACUUAUUGAAGAAAAAUAUUGCCAUCAAUUGUUUGACAACUAAGUUGGAAAAUUCUUUGGAAAUGUUUUGAGAAAAUCUUUCAAGGUGCAGGGUUUUGAUUCAUCUCUUGAAAGGUUAAAACCUUUUGAAUUUUUAUUUUUGAAAAAACAAGAUUGUUUACAUCUUGAUUAUGAGUUAUUUCAACAAAGUCAAUAUCAACCAAAAUAAACUCAUAGAAUUGUUUUGUUUUCAACAUAUUUUCUAAAAUAACUUGAAAAUAAUAGCUUCUUGACUUGAAAGGCUUAAAGCUUUUUUUAGGAAAAAUUUGGAGGGUAAUUAACACAAGUGAAAGUACAAGCAAUGGGACAAUAGCGAGAAAAAGAAAAUUAAUAGUUGAAAUAGAGUAGAGCACAUGAAUUCUAAUUUAUAGUUUUAUUGAUGAAGAGAAAAAUUCACUAUUUCUUUUGCCUCUUUAUGAUGUUUUCAACUUUUUAAAUAAGCUAAAAAAAUCAAACUAAUCAAACUAGAAAACCCUAAAAUAAAGAAAAAAAAUAUUAAAAUUCCUAAACAAACUUAGAGAAAUAAAAUUACUAUUCUCAAUAUUUAAUUUCCUAAACUAAAUAGAAAAAAUAAAAUCACCGAAAAUAUUUUCCUAAACUACAUAGAAAAUAAUAAUAACUAAGAAAUUUUAAUUUCAUAAAAACCCUUGGCAUCAACAAUAAUGUUGUAAAAGGUGUAUUAAUUUUGGGAUUGAACAAACAAGGGAGUUUGGAGAGAUUAAGAAUAAUUUAUAGGUGAGGUGUUUGGACUAGAUCAUGCUGAUGAAAGGAUUCAAAAUUGAUUAUUUAAGACACUAGCCCCAAGGAGGUCAAACCCUCCCUGAAAUAAAUUAAUAUCUUGAAUGCUUGAUGUUGUGGUUUGAAUUGGUCUUGAUGGUGUAAGAGCAUAUGAUUAUUUUGACUUAUUUUGAGCCUAGUAAAGACUCUUUGGAUAAAAGACUCUUUUACUUCUUUCAUUAAUUCAAUCUCCAAAUCAUAUUUUAAUAAAUUAUCUUGUUACCUGGCAAAACUUUGUUUUGACACAAUAUUUUGAAUAUUUUUUUCAACAACUUAUUUUACAUAUUGACAAUUUAUUUGUAAAAGAAAUUUCUGGAAAAUAAAUCAUCUUGAAAAUAUUAGAUGUAUAAAAUAAUUAAUAAAAUUUUCUUUUUGAUAGUUGAAUAAUUUUCUUGAGGAUCCAACCAAAUACCUAAAUGAUAUUGCACUAUAUGUUAUUGACUUUGAAAAUUUUGUUUGAGAAUACCACUGUAACUAAUAUCAAAGGCAUCGGUUUCAACUAUAAAAAAGGCCUCUAGAUCAUAAAGUCUUAAACAUGAAAACUCUUGACUUGACUUUUAAGAGUAUUCACAAUUUUGAUCAUUUGAUGAUUGAUUUUAGACAGGAGGGUUUUUCUUAAGUCUUUUGUACAAAGGUUGACAUAUAGUUCUAUGAUUUGGAAAAAUAUCUAAAACAUAAUCGAGGCAUCCCAUAAACUUUUAAAGCUAGGUUUUACCCUUGAUCUUAUUUAUGAAUUUAAUGGUAAAUUUUAUUAUAGUGACAAGGGUUAUUGAUAAAUUAUAAUUUUUAAGGUUGAGAAAACUAAUCUAUUUUGUUUGAUAAUAUUAAGAAACGUUUGUAAGUUGUUGAAAUGUUUGGUUAUUAGUUUUAAAAAUAAAAGAACAUCAUCUAUGUAUAUAAUCAUAAUUUUGAAUAUAGAUUAAAGAUGUCAUUCAUGAUGCUCUGAAGUUUUGAAGGAGUAAUUUUUAGUUCGAAAGACAUUAUAUCUCAUUUGUAAUGACCAAAUGAAAUAAUGAAUGUUGUUUUAUAAUGAUUUUUUUAAUCAAUUUAGACUUGUUAGAAUCUUGAUUUCAUAUCAAUUUUUGAAUAUAUUGAAGAAUUUUAAAGUCUUCUGAUAAGAUCUCUCUUAUUGUGUAUUGGAUAUCUAAUAUAUUGGAGCACUUUGUUGAGAGGCUUGUGAUUUAUGACAUGUAUUAGUGCAUGAUUAGUACUUAAAAGUGUAUUUUAUCAAUGUUUUAUAUUAUCAUUUUGUACUUGAAGUAUCAAUAACUCCUUAACUAGAGCAUGUUUUAUAAUAACAAGUCUGAUAAUAUAAGAUAACUUUAAUUUAUGGUAAAUGCUCAUUUUAAAUACAGACAUAUCUCACAAUUCAAAGGAUUGAUUGCUGUGAUUAACUAUUGAAAGUGAAAAGACAAAGAAAAGGCUAAGCUUAGAAAGGAGAUGCAGAUUCAAUUCAAAUUGGAACACUGUUAAGUUAUUGGGUCAUAUCUGGAGCUACAGUUCUUGGAUUUCAGUUUGGUUUAUAUGGCUAGAAAAAUAAGAAAUAGGCUUACAAUGUUCAUGAAUAGUGAAAGACCCAAAUCUUCCGUUUUCAAAUUCAAAGUUUGGCCACAAAAGAGAAGUCAGAAUCUGUCAUACAAUCCAGCCCAAACACUUCUCAUACUUUUACCCAUAGCUGGAGUUUUAAAAGGAAAAAUGAUGUCAAAUUUGGUGGCUAGAAGGAUAAGACAAUUUCCAAAAACUUUCAUGAAGACGACCUGCUCCAAUUCUGAUGUUAGAAAUGACAUUUCAUCCAGACAAGAGCUUGAGGGCUGUCCAUUACGUCCACCAGAAGCACUACUCAAUAUUUUAGCCAUAUCUCAAUCUCUAGUGAUCCAAAUGCUCUAAAAUUUUAUGGAUGGAAAGAUGAGAUGAUUGCAGACAACUUUUAUGAAGAACACUUUGCCAAAUGUUGAUUGAAUCAAUGUCAUUUCAUCCAGCCAAAAUGCUUAAGUGUUAUUGUCCACCAAGUCCACUAAAUCAAUAGUUGGCCACUACAUCAAUAAUCAAUUACCAAAUGAAUAGUUCCGAAUUUUAGCCUAUAAAAGGAGACAAUUGCAAUUCAUUUAGGCAUCUUGGUUCUUAGAUCAAGAUCAUGUUCUUGCUCUCUCUUUAAAUUUUUGUAAUGCUUAAGUUUUGCUUUCAUUAAUCUCUUGUUUAUGCUUUUCAUUUUCUUUACUAUACUUAGUUAACUUAUAUCAUGUUUAUGUUCAUAUAUUGUUUAUUUAUGUUUUUAUUUUUCAUAAUGUCGAGCUAAGUUAAUUAUGUCAAGGUGAAAAGGUUUCACUAAUGGUGUUAGAAUAUGUAUAAUAUAAACUCAAUAUGGACUUCAAUGUUUAUAUCCAAGAAAGUUUGUUAUUAAUAUGUCAUAUCUUUUUAUCUUAUUAAUUCUUAAUACCUUGCUUGUUAAAUGGUUAAUCUAGAUUUGUGUUGUAUAACACUUGGUAAAUCAAAUGCUUGAUCCUUCAUAGUCUUCGGUCAACAUCAUUGUUAUGAGAAGAACUUGAUUUGUUGUUAACAUAAGUUAACAUCAUGAAUUCCUGAUAAUAUUUAAAAGUAUGGUGUUACUAAAAUAAGAUAAUUAAUAUGAUCAUGUUAAAAAUUUAUAAUUAACUUUUACGGAUAAAUCAUCCGAUUGGAACCUCCUUUGUGUGUGGUUUCCAAUUGAGUAAUAAAAAGAGUUUAUACUAUACUUAUUUCUAAUACCAUUAGUGGACCCUCUAACCUUGACAUUUAUUUGUAUUAUUGUUUAAUCCUCACAUUAAUCUUAUAUCUCAAAGAUCUCUUUAUAUAUAUAUAUAGUUAACUUUCCUGUGGAUCGACCCCGGUCUUGCUGAGUUAUUUAUUACUUUGACACUCCUUCACUUGAGAGAAGACAUCAAUCUUUUUGUCAUGUCAAUGCACUUCUUUCUAUUUCAGCUUGAUUCCAGACAUAAAAAGGUGGCACAUAACCAUGAUGAUUUACUAGGGCUUAUAAGACACUUUUUGAUUAAUUUGAGGUAAUUUCCAAUUAUCAUUGUACGUGACUUUAUCUCAUUAUCAAAGUUUAGGAACUUGAAUGUUUGAAUUUUGAGAGUUAGCUUUAAUAAGGAGAGUUUAAUUUAUAGAUGAAUUUUUGAGAGGUUUUGGAGCUAUGUUUGUAUCCAUGAUUUUGUAAUAUAUUCUAUAGAUGAUGACUAUAUUCAUGGAAUCUUGAAGCAUAUCAGUACGAGUCUUAACAAGUCUCAAUAUUUAGAGCUAAGGUUUUCACUAUAAUAUCUAGGUUGAAUAAUGAGAUAGUGAAAUUUCGAUAACAAUUCAAGUAUGUAGAACCAUUAACAAGAUUUGAUUGAAAGAUUGUAAGGAGUGAGUUUGAAAAGGUCAUAAAUUUGUGGUCUCUUGAAAACAUAAGUAUGGGAGAGUCUAAUCCGAGAUGAUGAAUUGGUUUGAGUACAAUCUGUAUUAGACGGUGAUCAUUUUCGGUUUGGUUUUUUUAAAAAAACCAAAACCGGUUCAAACCGACCGGUUUCAGUUUGACUCGGUUUUUUCUGGUUUGGAUAUGUUUUUUUCGAUUUAGGUUUGGUUUGGUUUUUCAGUUUCAAACUUAUAAAACAAAAACCAAACCGAACUGGUCGGUUUUUCUGGAAAGAUAUAAUUGUUUCAAAUUGUUUGAUGAAGGCUGGUCUAGAUCAUAAAUAAUUGUCAUUACACAGUGCCGGUCUAACUUGAAAGAUGUUAAUGCCCCAUUAAUUGCGACGCCUAAGCUCAUAAACGAUAUCCAUGAAUUAUGAUGACCAUUAAGGAAGCUCAUAGGAACUCCUUAAUUUCAAGUUGCUUCUUAAUUUGUCUUCUUGGACAUGCAUGUGAUCUAAAGGAACAAAGGGAAAUUAAAUGCUUAAGCAUGAAUGUGAUCGUUCUAUAUAUGUUCGUCUUCAAGCUUUGAAAUUUUUAUAGCUCAAUUAUUAUAAUUUUUUUUAAUUUUUUUAUGUGGGAAAAGAGUAUCAAAAUUGUGGGAAAUAUAUAUUAGAAUAUUUCAUGGACUGCACUGCUCUAUGAUUGUGCAUUUAUAACCCAAUUAUUAUUAUUUUUUCUUUUUCCUGUUGAUUGCAUUUUGGAAUCCAUUUGAUUAGACAUAAUUUGAACUGGAAGAAUGAAUUGGGUUCACCUUCAUUUGUUCUGUUUUAAUGUGACUGAGAGCCUUAUUUUUUUAAAUGUAUUGUCACUCAUUUAGAUACUGGCUAAGUAGAGUUUGCAGUCAGAUUAACAUACAGUAUGCAUUCAUUCCAUUAAACCCUAAUGGAGUGAAUGAAUAAAAUGACUUUUAUUAAAUGUUCCUCUACUACUUGGAUGCUGAACUGGAGUAUUGGAGGUUCCCACAUUGCCCCAUUGUUGGUAUAUUCACCACAAGAAUUCACAGUUUUAUCGAGGGCAAUAUUCCGUCGGUGUGUGAUUGAUAGUACUUCGGUAAAUUAUUUACCGACUAAAUUACCGACAGAAUACGUCUGUCAGCUUACCUUUCAUCGGUGAUUCCACAUUCCGUCGCUUUAUUGAUCGGAAAAACAAAAAAAAUCAUUUACCGACGGUUUUACAGACGGAAUUUGCGUGCCAAAAAAAAAAAGUUUCCCGCUUCAAAAAUACCGACGGAUUUUUAUUCCAUCGGUGAUAUCACAAGUCACCGACGGUUACUUUCCGUCGGUAAAUUAGUCGGUGAAUUGUUGAAAUACCGAUAGAAUAUAUUGUCUGUCAAUUCGUCGGUAACUUGUAAUACCGACGAAAUUAUUCCAUCGGUAAAUCUGUUGGUGAGUCAUGAAAACACCGACCGAAUUUAUCUGUCUGGAAAUUUGUCGGUGAUGGUUGCGGCUACUGUCUAAUACCGACGGAUUUAUUCCGUCGGUAAAUCCCUUUAUAAUUUUUUUUCUAUUUUUUUUAAUAAUUAUUUAGAAUACAUAAUAUAAAAAGGAUAUAAAUUAAUGGUAAUAAAAACCAAUUAUGCAAAUAAAAUUUAUAUUAAGCAUCAAAAACAAAAAAUGAAAGAUAAAUAAUAUUCAUUACAAAAUGAAAUGUUUCAAAAAAACAUUAAAUGAAAUUUUAAAUGUAAAUAAUGUUUAUUAAAAAUUAAUAUAGAGGAGGAGGAGGUGGAGGACGCUGGCUGUUAGGCGGCCAAAAAGGAUUGGGUGCACAUGUUCCACCUUGUGCCAUGUUCAUGACUAUUUGACGAAGCUCUUCAUAGGUCGCUCAUUAUUGUUCAGAAUCUGCUCUGCAUUGUUCUUUGAGUUGUGUGUACGCCUCUGACAGGUGGUCGCACUUUUGCUGCAAGGCCAUGAACUCCUUAGAUUGGGAGCUCGAUACUGAUUGGGAGCUCCUGACGGUUGAAGCAGUAUGGGUCGUCCGCAAGUUGUCGGUCGUAGUGUUGGAGAGCCCGUAAACCCGAUUUUUAUCGAGUCCACUUGAUGAUCCAGCCUCCAUCCACAAAUCCGGAUCGAAUUCCGGAUGGGUCGAAGGAUCGUCCCUGUAUGUCUCCCUCAACCGAUUAUUAUAGGUCUCCUGAAAAUAAAAUAAAAAGUAAUCAUCAUAUUCAAUUCAAUAAACAUAAUAAUAACUUACAAAAUAAAAUUGUUGAACAAACAUACCACAAAAUGUUGAGCACGGCUGUCAACGAACUGUUGCACCCCCUGUUGGCGGUCUUGACUCCGCACGUGCGUCUCCACAAAUAGCUCCAUAGGGCUCGGCUCACGUCCAAGAGACAUAGCCUAUAAUGAAAAAAAUUUAUUAACAACAAAUUAAUUAAACGAUAUAUUUCAUUUAAAUUAAUCUUACCAUCCGUUUUGCAUGUGCAGCAAACGGAACGGAGCCGCCGGUGUGCGUUGUCACCGAGCCAUGAAUUGGCAGAUUCCAGUUGCCAGCACCGGACUAUGAGCAUCGUGUGAACUGCUCAGACGUCACGUGCUGAAUAUAGUGCGGCCAUAUAUCUUCCGGGAAGUAUAUCGGUUUGAAAUCCCUCCAAACCGCAACAUCGUUCCAGCCUUGGAACCCCCUAUCCCUCGCAGGUUUUUUUGCCUUUUUUUAGGCUUCGUACCAAAAAUCACGCAACCUACUUCACGCAAGCAAAAAUUACAUUUCGAAACAUAAAUUUUUUUGUAAAAAAAAAAGUUGUAUUGUUUUCGUUGUUACCUAGUUGCUGCGUGAUUUUCCUACACCCUCCUCACAACAGUGUUAUAUUCCUCGUUCCAACAUAAUCGAUUAUGUGUAUAAAAAAAUAAUUUUUAAAAAUGUUAAUAAUUUAUUUACAAUUAUAUUAAGAAUUUAUUAGAAAUAAGCUGAAAAUUAUAUAUAACACGAACCUGAAAUCUGGAAAACCAUGGAUUGAUUUGAGGCAUCCAUUCAGGAUGCCUGGUUAUCUGACUCCAAUGAAACAAUGGAUUCUCCAUCGAUGAUUUAAACACCGCUGAUAUUACUCGGGCGACCUCAAUGUUUGUGAACCUGAAAAGAAAUGAAAUUAAUUAAAUAGUGACUUCAUAAAUUAUGUUUUUAAUUUUUUUUUUUAAAAAAACUAAAACCUUAACAAACUGACAUUGAAAGAUCGUCUUUUCAUUAUGCCUUGUACUUGCAGGAAAAUCGAUUUCGCUGUGAAGGCACGCCGCUUUUGGGCUGUGAAACAACGCUGGAAGAGGCAGCAUCGGUUGACAGCACAAGUGGUGUAGGUGCCUCUUCUUGAGAGUCACCUAAGGAAAUAUCUUCCUCGCUGCUAGACGAACCUGAUGCGUCCGGACGUGAAGCUCUGGUUUUCAUUCUGUGCAUCUAACCAGUUUUAUAUAAAUAAUUAUAUAAUUAAAUUGAAAUGUUAAAAAAAAAUUCGGCAACACCUCCCCUAUACUAGAUACUACCCAAAUCCACAAACUUGCAAAUAUUAACAAUAGCCACAACCAAUUGACCCAAUCUAUACUAAUUAUUCCAACAUAUUCAAUUACAAAUCCUAAGGUCAAUUCAACAUUAACAAUUACAAUUCAACAAAUUAUUCAAUAAUUAUGCCAAUACAACAAUAAAAUAUAUUCAAUAAAUUAAAAAAUAAUUAUAAACUAAAAAUUAAAAUCAAUGGAAACAAUUAAACACAAAUUAUGCAAUAAUAGAGUAAAAUUACUACGUAUUCCAACAUAUCCAAUUACUAAUUCUAAGGUAAAUUCAACAUUAACAAUUAUAAUUCAACAAAUUAUUCAAUAAUUAUGUCAAUACAACAAUAAAAUAUAUUCAAUAAAUUAAAAAAAUAUUUUAAACUAACAAUUAAAAACAAUGAAAAUAAUUAAACACAAAUCAUGCACUAAUAGAGUAAAAUUACUAAUUAUUACAACAUAUGCAAUUACUAAUUCUAAGGUAAAUUCAACAUUAACAACAAAUAUUCAACAAAUUAACUAAUAACAAUUAUGCCAAAACAACAAUAAAAAAUUUUCAAUAAAUUUUUUUAAAAAAACUAUAGACUUUAGGGAAGAAAUAUGCAUACCUUAAUAAUGUGUUGAAACAAAAAAUUUAUCUACAUUACAAAAAAAUACAACAAAACAAAAAACAUAAAAAGCAUAAAAAUAACUAUAAAUAAAAUAAAAUAAAAUAGAAAAAACACACAUACCUUUUAAUAUGAUGAAGAUUCACAACCAAGCUUGCUAGAGAUUCAACAAAGCUUGAAGAUUUGAGAGGAAAAAAAUCAAAAUUCUAAGAACUUAUAGAAACCUUAGGUCUAUUUUCACGGGCGACAAGCCCACCCAUACUCACUCUGGUCUAUUUUCACAGGCGACCUGCCCACACUCUCACAUUGGUCUAUUUUCACGGGUGACCUGCCCUUUUUAUUGGGUUUACCUAAGAUCCCAUCUUGAGAUCUAACAAGAACAAAAAUCGGUGUGUAGCUCGAUCAACCUGAAAUCCCAUCUAGUAAUUCCCUUUAGCUAGAGCCAAGGUCUGUGCGGUUAGACUGAACUGAGAUCCCUUCGCCGAUCCCCUUCAACCAGAACCAAAAUCCUUUCCAAUUAGGUUAAACUGAGAUCCCUUUGCCGAUCCCCUUUAACCAUAACCAAGGAAUGUGUGGUUAGACUGAACUGAGAUCCCUUCGUCGAUCCAUUUCAACCAGAACCAAAAUCCUUUCCAAUUAGGUUAAACUGAGAUCCCUUUAUCGAAAAUUAACCAACCAAGGAAUAGUUAGACUGAACUGAGAUCCCUUCGUCGAUCCCCUUCAACCAGAACCAAAAUUUUGGUUAAACUGAGAUCCCUUCGUCGAUCCCCUUAACCAUAACCAAGGAAUGUGUAGGGUUGGGCUAGACUGAGAUUCCUUUCGGCAAUCCCCUCUAACCAGAACCAAAAUCCUUUCCAAUUAGGUUAAACUGAGAUCCCUUUGCUGAUCCCCUUUAACCAUAACCAAGGAAUUAUGUAGGGUUGGGCUAGACUGAGAUUCCUUUCGGCAAUCCCCUCUAACCAGAACCAAAAUCCUUUCCAAUUAGGUUAAACUGAGAUCCCUUCGUCGAUCCCCUUUAACCAUAACCAACGAAUGUGUGUAGCUCGGUCAACCUGAAACCCCAUAUAGAGAUUCCCUUUAACCAAAGCUACAUGAGAUCCCAUCUAGCGACCUCAUUCAACUGGAACAAAAGAAUGUGUAAAAAGUGGUCUCAUUAUAAUGGGUGACCUACCCAAGUGGAAAGGAGGAAGAGUGGUCUCAUUCUUAUGGGUGACCUACCCAGGGGGAAAGAAUAUGAAGUGCGGUCUUAUUAUAAUGGGUGACCUACCCAAAAUGGAAAAAAUAUAAAGUGUGGUCUCAUUGUAAUGGGUGACCUACCCAGAUGGAAAGAAUAUGAAAAAGUGCGGUCUCAUUGUCAUGGGUGACCUACCCAGAUGGAAAGAAUGUGAAGUGCGGUCUCAUUGUAAUGGGUGACCUACCCAGAUGGAAAAAAUAUCAUGAAGUGCGGUCUCAUUGUCAUAGGUGACCUACCUAGAUGGGAAAAAUAUGAAAAAUGGUCUUAUUAUGACGGGCGACCUACCUAGAUGGAAAGAAUGUGAUAUGACAAGUGUGAAAAAUAGGACUUACCUGGCGAAGUCUUGAGGGGAUGACAGAAGAUGGGCUGGAAAACUUGGUGCUUCAUGAUAAUCCCCGAUCAUAGGGUUUGAAAACUUGGUGUUUCCUGACUGCAAGAGUUGAAAACUCGAGGCUUCACGAUUGCAAGGUUGAUCUCUUCAUUUCUUUGGGAUUUUCCUAAUGGCAAGGUUCAUCCCAUCAUCCUUUUAUUCCAUGAUCAAAAUCGAUUCUUUAUUAUCAUCACCAUAGUGCUUCUUUCUUUUUUCAACAUCUUGCUGGACCUCAUUAAGGAUUUUCCUGUAACAAUUCAAAAAUAUAUGCAAAUGGUUUUUUUUUUUUUUAAGGUUAGAUGAUAUGCAUGCAUCCUUACCUGAUUUGAAAUAUAGGUCCCCCCCUCUUUGAUGCUCCAUCGUCAUAGGGUGCCCUUGUUUGUAUCCCAAAACUUUCUUUGUUCUUCCGAUACAUUGGCUCAUUCAUGUGCUAGCCAUCCACUCAGCUGUAAAUGCAGUGCCCAUCCCGAGCUGUUUUUGACAAUUACUGCUUGCAUCGUUCAUCAAGCUUGACCCUUCCCCCAAGUGUGGUACUGCUUGAUUCAUCAUGAAGGAUUUUCUCUCCUGGCUUCUUCUAAGAAUUAUCCUCUGAUUGAUUGUGUGCAUCAUGCCAAUACCCAUCAAGAUUGUUAAUCAGUCAUGAACUUGCCUCUAGUUGAAACAAUACUGUUCAAGUACAUGUUAUCAUUAGCCUUCUUGGAACUCAUUCAGUCAUCCAGUCAUGCAUCUCAUAGCUUGCACUACAAAGGCUCAUGGUUGUAUGCUCAGUGUUCUUCUUAAUAGAUUCCCUUCAACUCAGCCUCAUCAAUGAUGCUGCUUUUAUCACUCAUACUCAUGCAGUGAAGCACUCAUCUGGCUUCAAAACAAGUUAUCCCACAGUCAGUCUUCGAGGUGGGUGCCUUUCUGACAUUCAUUCAAUGCAGUUGUGUGAUAACAUCUUCCGAUAAACAUGUUUCAAAGGAUGACAAUAUGACAUUGUCCUUUAAGUGAAGCAUUGUUCCACAGUCAGUCUUGGUGGUAUGCAUCUUUUCUCCAUUCAAUUACAUUCAUCUGUGUAUCUUCAUCGAUCGCUAGCCAUGUUUCAAAAAUGAUGAUAUGAAAGUGUCCUUCAAGUACAUCUUGUUUCUCCAUUGCCGACAGGGUUCACUAAGCAUGGGCCAUUUUGGAAUGACAUUGCCCCCAGUAUGAUCUGAAUGUGCUCGUUCAUUGAUUAUCUGUCUUUGAACAUCAUUGUCUUCAGUUCACUGAUUCAUCAUUUAAUCAUUGCCUCAUAGCUGAUCUGAGCACUGCUUGUUUUUCCUUUUCAAGGUCUACUGUAUUGCCCCCAGCUGCUCAACUUUUCAAGGAGUGUCGAGGACUUCAAUGUCAUUUCUAUCAACGAUUUUGCAUACUCAAUCAAUGUUCUUCUGUGUUUGAUAAUCUUCCUUGUUCUGGAAUCAACUCUCAUAUUUCAAAGAUCAUGUCUAUUCAAAGUCUAGUUUGUUGAAAUGAAAUCAGAGAUGUCCUUUUUGAAAAUCUUUUGAAAAUCAAGCUUUUUGAUCAAAGACCCAACACACGUUAUUCGAAAUACACAGUCCUUUGAUUGUCAUGCAUUUUAAAAACAUAAAUUGACCCAAUGUAGGAUUAAAAAUGGUUUUUUCCAUGGUUCUUUGUAUCAAUUUGAAUCCUUGAUAUUGGGUAUAUCAUUUGAUAGUCUAUGAUGAGGUGACCUUUUCGUGAAUUUCAAAAGCAAGGCACUCAAGUCAACACUUAGGCUUUAUCAAGAAAGGUUGUUUCUCUUCUUAUAACUUGUUUUAUCAGCAUGCAUAAUAACCAAUAGCUUAAUUCAUGAAGUCACGACCCUUAUGGAAAAGCUCUUCAAGUUUUGAGAGCGCCAUUUAUCGGUUCAAAUUGCUUGCUUGAUUAAAAAGGGCUUUUAAAAGCAUGUAAUGCAGGCUAUGGUUCAUGGCUAUGAAAGAAAAGGAAUCUCAAAGGCUCAAAAGGUGUUUGAGGGUUUCAAAGACCUAGGAUCAACAUCAAUUAUUCAUCAACUCUUUUUUAUUGUUGUCUUUAUAGAGGAAACGACAUAUAACCUUGUUAACCUCAAAGAUCAGACUUCACUUAACAUAAGUCAUAAUGCAAAUCCACCUUUCCUUGAUGAAUAACCAACCUUAAUCAUCUGAUAACAUCAGAGGCUUUAUAAUGGACACCAAAAGUCACGUUUAUAACUUAGUCUUUUUUCUGGUAUUGAGUUUUGUUGUGCCUUUCCUUGAUUGAAAUUUCUUUUGCUCUUCAUAGACUUGAUAGGCGUUCUCCUUCCUUUAUCUUUGACUUGUAUUUAAGUGAGGGCAAAUUUCAACUUCCUUUUUUUUCAUUCUCUUUUUUUUCAUAGCCUUCCUCAAAAUUUUCUUAUAUGCCCCCAGUCUAUGUGUUUUCUUUUAUUUCUCUCUCAAUCAUUGGACCUUUGUUCUAAACCUUCCCCUUUAUCCAUUAAUUAUAUCAAUGUCUCCAACAAAUCUCUCAUCUGCCCCCAGUGUGGGGUGUGAUCCUAGUCAUGGUUUUUUUUUAAAGAAAAUACUUUACCAGGCUCAAAAUGGGACUACAAGGGAUAUAAUCUUUAGAAAGUGAAGGGAUAUCAAAGAUGGCCUUUUCUCAUUUCAAGCAAGGUCGGUUAGAACCGAUAAAUUUUGACCCAUCCAGUGUAAUGAUUGGGACUUGUAAGAAUCAUGAUUCACGAGUCCAUAACUACCGAAUCCACUACAUGUCAUUAUGCAUACUGUUAAAACUUAGCUAUAUGAUGUGUGGUUCAGUUUCAGGAGGUAUGAGUUCAAAAUUGUUUAGUCACCUCAUGUCAUUUUCAAGCAUCGAGUCAUUUCUGUAAUCAAAACACUUUUAAUCUUCAGGAUUGAUUAACCUUUAUCGCAUGUUGGAGUUUGAUCAAAAUAUUUUGUCAGAAUAAAAUGCUAAACAUCUGUUGAUUUCAAAACAACAAAGAGACAAAAGCAAGGCAUGUUUCGUUGAAGGAUGAGAUGUGAUCCCAAAACAAAAUGCAGAAUUCCAUAACAAUAUGAUUGAUUGUUCAUCACCAUUCUUGAAUCAGCUUUUCUGGCAAUAUCUGUGUUUUGCCAAGCACUUUCGAUCACAUGUCAUUUUGAAGAUGUUCGGGGGACAAUAUAGCCAAUGACACCCUCCUUCACCGACUCCACUUGUCUCUUGCUCACCAACUUUCGGACUCAAUUCUUGCAAUUCUUGCAAUUGUUCACUUGAAAUGGUUGAGGACCCCACCAUGACAUCAUAUCUCUUGUCUGGAUUAUACCACCUAGAAAACGGUGGUUGCAUGGGAUUUGUCGGAGUCUAGCAAGUCUAGAAUCUGGCAGAUGCUGGCAAAUAAACUCAUAUGACAACUAUUCAAUUGAAAUUCUUGCAACUAUUCCAUUGAAAUGGCCGAGGACCCAACCAUGACAUCACAUCUCUUGUCUUGAUUAUACCACCUAGAAAAUGGUAGUUGCAUGGGAUUUGUCAGAGUCUAGCAAAAGUCUAGAAUCUGGCAGAUUCUGGUAAAUAAACCCACAUAGCAAAGAAUGUCUAUCUUUGGCAAAGACAUUGGAGUAGUCGAUGAUACAACAAGACUUGGUUGGACCAACAUAAUUAAGGUUUUCCAUCGUCAGAUUCUUCUUUUGAUUCAUCUCUCAUCGUUUCUCUAGAAUCCUUGGCAGAACCUUCAAUCUUUCCCAUCUUGAUAGCUUGUUCAAUUUUUGGCAAUCCACACAACUUCAUGUCAAUCUUCCAAUGUUGUUGUUGUUGUUUUAGGAUUGUUGGAAACCCGUCAAUAUCUAGGUAAUCCUGGCAGUGCGCAAAAACAAAAAUGUAUGGAAUCAUAUAUUGUCAAAAUUGGAAGAGAAACUGAUGAAUCCACAACUCCUCUAUUUCCUCUUUGAUUCCUCACUGACGGUGCAACAAACAUCCACUUUUGUGUUUUAAUGCCAAUACUAGUAGGAGAAAAUUGUGGACAAUCUGAAAACCACUGCAUCCCUUCUUGGAUUUCCCAUUUACAGAUCCAUAAAUAGAUUCCUGCCGAGAGAUCUCUGCAACGGUGAAGUUUGAUGUCUGCUCCAUGUUUUUCAAACCAAAUCUGGCUCUUCAACAUGCUACAGUUUCUUCAUGCUGAAACUAAUGAGAGAAAUAUUUGUAGCAUAUGCAAUUAGUAAAUCCUCUCUUGCACUCUCAACUUGCAACAUCAUAAACAGAUUUCUGUAGAGAAAGCUCUGCCACGUUGAAGUUCGACGACUACUCAUAUUUUCAGACCAAGCCUGACUCCUCUGCCUAGUACGAUGUUUUGCUCGUGCCACUGGUGGGAAAAAAGUUUCAAAGCAUAUGAAAUUAAUACAUCCUCUUUUGUAUUUCCCAUUGGCAGAUCCAUAAAUAAAUCUCUACAAAGAGAGCUCUACCACGUAGAAGUUCAGUGUAUGAUCAUGGUUUUCGGACCAACAUCUUGUGCUGCUGACUGAAAUUGAGCUCAUAAUUAGGGUAACUUCAAAGCAGACUAAUGCACCAUGUACAGGAGGCUAGUAGUUGUUUGGUUCCAUUAGAUGAUGUGGAGGCGAUGAACACUUAACAGUGCAACUAGACAAGAACUAGAGUUGUCAUUAGUUGAUGACUGAAGGCAUUGUUGCUGUUGUUCAUGACUGAAAAGGAGAGGCAACUUCAAUUGAACGUGGACAAGCAGUGUUCCCACAGAAGACUGUGUAGACAUUCUCUUUCCAUUUGAUGCUCGACACUUGUUCGAGCAGAUCUGAGUCUAGCUACUUCACCUUUGAUGCUCUCAACCUCAAUCUGAUAAUGAGCCUCUAUCUAACACUUUUCUUCACCUCUAUCAUUUUUCUUCAAUCACGUGCAGCACAGCUUGUGCGGGGGACCUACCUUUCAACCUGGUACAUGCAUGAUAAAUGUAUGAAUAUGUAAUCUAUAUGACAAACUCGCCCUUCGAGGGGUGACAUAUGGUCGCAACUCUUGUAUGAUGAAACAAGAAUCUUGAUUCUUGCACAAACUCUACAAUGAAAAUGUUCUGAGCGACGGUCAUUGUGUCACCCAUAAGUCUGGAGUUCAAGAUGCUUCAAAAAGGGCUUGCUCGGAUGCAAAACAAUGUAUACGGAGCAUACAUCCUAAAGGUAGAUUCUAAUCUUUUUAAGUGAGACAAAAGGUAGGAUAUCAUCUUCUUCAUCGACAUUUGCUUGUCCGCUAGAGCUCAAAACAACGUUCAACUCCUCUACGUCAACAUCAACAAGACUAUCAUCGAAAACACGAAAAUUUGAAUUUUCUUCCAAUUCAAUCGAAGGAGCAACUCGAUAUGGUUCAACCAACUCACUAACUUGAAAGACUUCAUCCCACACACUUGUGUCUUCGUUCUCAUCCUAAACAACCUCGACACGACCCCGUGGUUUUGUUUUUAAAACGAACAACCAAUCAACUCUUGAUCGAUCCUUUCUAAAUGAAGGGGUGUAUGUGUAAUAAACUUGUUGACAUUACUUUGCGAAAACAAAGACAUCGUUUAUGUUGCAGAGUCUAGCUUUUGAGUUGAUUUCGACUAGACCAUGGUGUGUAUCAACUCUGAUUCCUCUGUCCGUCGUGUCAUACCAAUAGCGUUUGAAUAAAAACACUGUAUUCUGCUCGCUAUGAUAUUGUAGUUCGACGACCUCUUCUAAUCUUCCAUAGUAGUCAACUUUUAACUCACUACUUGUGGAUCCUUUAACACAAACACCACAGUUGUAUGUCUUUCUUCAUUGCCCGUAUUCUUCAGUAUGGAAAACAUAUCCAUUGACAAAAUACUUGUUAUAGCACUUAACUUUUCUUUCAGGCCCGAGGCUUAGUGAAGGCAAUGACUUAGACGCACUUCUUCCCAUUUGAUAAACCUUGUAUACAUGUAAUGUACAUCAAUAAACGGUAAAUGAACGAGAAUCUUGUAAUGACAUGCAUACGUACAGUAAUUUUGCAAGUUAGAAUGAGUUUGUGAUAGUGCUUACAUGUGUUCUAAACCAUGUGGCAAAUUGUUCAUCUUGUAAUUGAAAGAUCUGGGAGUCGGUCAGCUGCGAGUUAUUGGAGAGCAAAUAUUGUCGAUGUUGCCUGCAAGUGAUAAUGAGUGUAUGAUUUCACAAUAUAUAAUUAGCAGUAUAUUACUGACAAAGUUUAAAUAGUAUUACACAUAUAUAAACUUACUGAAUAAAUGGUCUUAACUCUUCACAGUUAAAUAGAACAUAGUUGUGUGCUUGUUUGAAUUCUAUUUCCGACAAAUAUCUUCCUCUUGUCGCACGUCAAAAACAAAUCCGUGCGCGGCAUCGACUGGCGAUUAUUCGUUCUGUUUUGCUGAUUUGGUUCUUUAGAGUCGCCACCUAGUAAUUCAUUGAGGGCUACUAGGAAACCUGAUGUACUGGACUUGUCAGAGAUCGCGGGUAAGGGACUGGUUGUGGUUAGGGAAGGUAUUAGCACCCCUAACGCACCCUACCUGAGGUAAGCUGCUUUGUGGACUUGAUGUGUUAAAGAAGUUUUAAAAAUUAUGUUCUUUCAUCGAAUUUUAGAAAAUACAACUUACAUGUAAGUUCAUAAUUCUUUAUCCGUGAUCAAAUCAGAAUAUUAAAUUCUUCUUUAUUCUUGCAAUUUUAUCAUAAUAAAAAAAACAUUCAUAAACAAAAAUACACACCACAUUCACUUUCAAGCUUUGUGGACUUGAUGUGAUAUUAAAAAUAAAAUUUUAGCCCAAUUAUAAGGCUUUGAUAAAUCAGUUAUUACUUUUCCAGACUAUUAUGUAGAUACAUGUUCUACAUUUCCAUGGAAAAUUCAACAUGAUUUUUAUCUGUCCUUUAGAUAUUUGUGCAUAUAAAAUAAAUUCCUUUUUUUUUAUUCAAUAACAUUCAAAAAAAAAAAUACAAGCACACAAACAUUUUUUUUAUUAUUAUUAUCACUUUCUCUGUCUUUUCUUUUCUUUUCUUUUACAUCCUUUUUUUUGUUCUUUUUAUACAUUACCUUACAAAUUAUAAAAACAAAUCAAACUAAAUAAAAAUGACAUUACAUAAUUUACAAUUUACAAAAACAGUCCCUAAACUCAAGAAAUUGCAUUGAAGGACACUGCCGGAACUGCCCUGAACUUGUGGCGGCGCGUCUUCCCACGUGCCACCGUCACUGGCGGCGCGUGAAUCUAGAAACAGCGGGAUCUGGUUCGGCUUCUCUCCUUCUUCCUUUCCUCGCCAGCGGUGAGCAACGCCGUCACCUGUAGAACACAAAAACGCAAGCAACAGUCUGUUUUAGUUAAUUUUUAGAUCUGUUUUCCAUCAUUAUCUGCUUCCCUUUCUUCUUUCUCCGGUCUAUUCUUGGGGAUUCACCAUCUUCUUCUCUGCUCAGGUAGUCGGGCGGCGGCUGGUUGAUGGUGGAUCUAUGGCCGGAUGUGGACGGCGCUGCUGGAGGAAGGCGUUGCUGCCUGAUUGUCGGUUGCGGUUGGUGCUGGACCUGUGGGGGCUGCCGUUGAAGGGGCUGGAAGUCAGAUCGUCUGAGAGAGAGGAGUGGUGGUUGAUUCUCCGUACCUGGCGAGAAGAAAAGGAAGUCUGAUCUGGGAGGAUCGGCCGGGGAAGCGGCUGAAGGAAGAAGAAAAACCGAAUCUAGAGGGGGGGAAACGGCGACCAGUUUUGAAAGGAAGCAGGUUCGGUUUUGGCCAGCGUUAUGAUCACGAUCGGUGAUGGGGUUCGGUGAGGAGGGGAAGAUCGGCUGUGGAGUGUGGUGGUGAGCGGCUGAAAAAAUCAAAGAAAAGGGGGCUCUGGUGAGGCCAAGAAGGAAAAAUUGAUUCGCCGGCUGUAAAAGGGAGAACCGGUUUUGGUUUGGGUGUGUCUGUGUUUGGUGCCAUGUCAUGUGCUCAGUAGUCCUUCGUGACAUGAAUAACCUCUGCAGUCUAGGUGUGAUCGGGAAAUAUCUAAGUUUUUCCCCUGCCAGUUCUGGGUUUGUAACGGGAAUACCCGCAUGUCAUGCACUCGGUCAUCUCAGCAUUUUCAAGGUAGUAUAACAUGUAGAAGUUAGGGCACAUGUCAAUUUUAUGGUAUCCUAAACCAAGGGGUUUCAUCAUGGACUUCGCAACAUAGAAGUUCUCUUUCAGCCUGUUCACUUCAGGUAAAAUGCUUCUUGCCCAAUCAAUAAUUUUUUCAUACCCGGCCUCACUCAGCCCGUGAUCUGACUUGAUGGUGAACACCUGUGCCACGGGCGACAAUUUACUGUGGUUUGUGCAGCCAUCCCAUAAUGGUUCGUCAGAAUCUUUCAACAAAUCAAAAAACCUAGCUGCCUCUGCAUUAGGUUCUUUUUCUACGAUUGGACAUUGAUUGACAUUACCUUGAUUCAUUCUCAUUGCAUCCAUAACCACAUUUCUGUAAGGAUUAGUGUUGUCAUUUCGCUUCAUGCACGUUGCUAGCACUAGAAGUUGACCCAACCACCGUUUCUCUCAUUCUCCUAUUACUAACAAAUACCUCUCCAUGUGCAUACCAACACUGGUAAUCCUCAAACCCUUUGUGUAGAAGAUGCAUCAUUACAACAUCUGGAUGCAGAUACUUUUUAUUUUGACACUUCCUGCAUGGACACCUAAUACCGCCUCCAGUAAAAUUUCUGGGAAUAGAUGUUGCGAAAUUAAUAAAACCCUGAACCCCGUUACAAUAAUCCAUCCUCCGCAAUCCUUGGGUGAAUCUAGAUACAUCCAUGAACGAUCAUCCAUGACUUCUAUCGAACCUCUAUAAAAUUAUGAUGACAUCAUGUAUUAAUUAACUAAGUUAGGUAAAUAAACUUGCAAAAAUAUUACUUUACCUCGAGAUUAUCCAACAAACCAAUCACAACUUCUCAUAAAUAUUAAAUAUUCAUUAUCAUUUAUCAACGUCCAUACAAAUUAAUAUAUAUAAAUUAACAGAAAUUACCACUCUGCAAUACCAUCGAUAAAACUUAAAAAGGACCCAUUAAGCAAGCUAUUAAUUAUUUCAAAACAGAACAUGUAAUUCGGUAAUUCCACAAAGUUUUAACAAUUUACAAACAAAUACAAUCUUACAAAAUCUAAAACAAACCAUAACAGGUAUAAAAUUAUACAUUCAUAUACUACAAGUUUGUUUGAGAAAUAACAAUAAAACAUGUACAUCUACUAACAAAAAUACAUAUACUAAAAAACAAUAAAAUUGACAUUUAAAUGUUAAAAUUUAAAUAGAUAGAAUUACUUACAAAAAUUGAUAAAAUCCGUCGGUAAAUCAGAACACGGAUGUUGUGACCACAAAAUUUCAAGAAAUACAACUUGUUGUGUUGAGAUGAGCAAGAUUUUUAUUUGGGGGCAAGGGGGGGCUGAUUAUUUGCAGAUGGGGAGAGUUAGGAUUAGGAAGAAAAAGGAGAUAUGGGGAAGGAGAGUGUCGACAGAGUGGCCAUAUAUUUACUUUUUCCGACGGCCUCAUCGACGGAAUAACACCGUCGGUGACUCCGUAGGUCAUUCCGACGGGAAAUCGACACGUCACCGCACGAACCUGCUUUUCAAAUCCCUCGGUGAUUCCGUCGGUAUUUUUUAUGGUGCAACGGUCGCGUCACCCAUACGGAUCUGCCGUUUCAAUUCUGUCGGUGAUUCCGUUGGUAUUUUGAAGUCCCAUGACACGUACUUGUCAACCAUUUUGAAUCCGUCGGUGAUUCUGUCGGAAAAAUCACCCGCCAAACCUCCACGUCAGCUACCCGCCCUUUUUUCAUUAAUUUUGAUUAUUCUGUCCGUAAUUCGGUCGGUAAUUACCAACCAAAUGACGGACAGAAUAAUUCCAUCGGUAAUUUCGACCGAAAAAUACCGACAAAAAUAUUCCUCGGGGAUUCCGUUGAUAUUAAGCGAAUUUCUGGUAGUGAUUUGAGCAACUCUGAAACAUGAAGCUAGUCAAUAGGCGUCUAUAAGUUGUACAGAGAUUUUACAAUAGAAACUAUUCAAGUAAGAUUUUGGUGCAAUCAGUAUUCUAUAUGCACGAACAAAUUUGGGGCUUCACUGUACUACCUCAGAUACUCUCAAAAAAUGCUUCUUGGAAUUCGGAAGUUUAGACGAUCAUCGGUUAACAUGUCUGGUGUUGGUGCUUCAUGAAAUGAUGUUACCGUUUCUCUUUCUGAACGUUAUUCCAGGUUGGAAAUUCAAGUAAUUAGUUCAAAUCCUAGAAGAUGAGUGGUGGCUUAGAAUGCUGUGAAAAAAUCGUUCCCCUGUUCAUUUUUCAAAUUAGAAAAGACAUAACUUUUUGCUUGAACUUCUAGAAUAUAAAAAAAUCUUACUUUUAUAUCUAGACACUUUCCAUCUAUGAUCUUUAAAUCUGAAGACAUAUCAUCUGGUUUUAAGAAAGUGCUAUUAACAUACCAAACUUUAUUAGAUUGUUGUUGUGCACUUAGGAAGAAAUAAAAUACUUGUCCUCUAUUGUUUUCAAUAGCAUGAUCAGCUUCAUAGUUUUCUACGUUGUCUUUUUACUAGAAGUACCUUCGUGAAUGUUGGGAAUUUCUGUCUUUUGCAUCUAUACCAGCACUCUUUUACUUAGUGUCCACCUCAUUUUCAAGUUCAUGUCGCUGGAUCCAGCGGUCAAGAGAAAAUCAUGUCAUUGACACUAAUUUAGACCAUCAAAAUGAUUGAUAUUUGUGUUAAAUGGUUCCUUUUAACUGAGAGAAUUCAUAUUAGGUGUUUUUCUUACCUUUAAAGUUUGUGAAAAAACAAAUAUUAUCUCAAGCUGAUUUUUGGUUUCAUGUUCAUUUCUAUUUUUUAGAGGGUUUGUUGGUUUUUUAGGCUAAAAAUAUGUUUAUCAUGGUUCUUAAGGUUUUUUAUAGGUGUUUUGGGUCAAAAUGAGUUUUGAGUAAAAAAACUUAAGCCUUGAUUUUUCAACCACUACAGUGGUUGGAAUCCGGAUAAGAUCAGACGACGCGUUGUCUGUCUCAAUAGGCAACGCAUCAUCUGAUUGUUUUAAAAAAAUAGAGGUGGACGACAUGUCAUCUGCUCUAAGUGCAGCGAAAAAAAUGGGUCCAGUUAGGUGAGCCCUAAUGAAAUGGGCCAGGCCAGGCAACACUUGACCGUUUUUUCCCUUAUUUUUUUCAAUUCAUCCUUAUUUUUAUAUGUUUUUUUGUAAAAUAAAAAAAUAUUUAUAUUUAGAUUAAUACCUCUUUUCUUUUUGUAUUUUGUUCAGAAAGUCUUUUAAAUGAUGAUUAUUUUUUUGUUAUGUUUUUAAUUUUUGAAGAGGUCUUUCUGAUUCAUUUAUAUUUUUUUUAUCGUUUAUGUAGAAGAAUUAUAUUUUUGAAAAUAAAAAAUAUUUAUUUUCAAAUAAUAUUUCUACAGAGAGGUCGCUGGAUCCAGCGAUAAAAAAGAAAAUCAUGUCGUUGACACUAAUUUAGGCCACCAAAAUGAUUGAUAUUUGUGUUAAAUGGUUCCUUUUAACUGAGAGAGUUCAUAUUAGGUGUUUUUCUUACCUUUAAAGUUUGUGAAAAAACAAAUAUUAUCUCAAGCUGAUUUUUGGUUUCAUGUUCAUUUCUAUUUUUUAGAGGGUUUGUUGGUUUUUUAGGCUAUAAAUAAGUUUAUCAUGGUUCUUAAGGUUUUUUAUAGGUGUUUUGGGUCAAAAUGAGUUUUGAGUAAAAAAACUUAAGCCUUGAUUUUUCGACCACUACAGUGGUUGGAAUCCGGAUAAGAUCAGACGACGUGUUGUCUGUCUCAAUAGGCGACGCAUCAUCUGAUUUUUUUUUUAAAAUAGGGGUGGAUGACAUGUCAUCCGCUCUAAGUGCAGCGAAAAAAAUGGGUCUAGUUAGGCGAGCCCUAAUGAAAUGGGCCAGGCCAAGCAACACUUGACCGUUUUUUUCCUUAUUUUUUUCAAUUGAUCCUUAUUUUUAUAUGUUUUUGGUAAAAUAAAAAAAUAUUUAUAUUUAGAUUAAUACCUCUAUUCUUUUUUAUUUUGUUCAGAAAGUCUUUUAAAUGAUGAUUAUUUUUUUGUUAUGUUUUUAAUUUUUGAAAAGGUCUUUCUGAUUCAUUUAUAUUUUUUUUAUCGUUUAUGUAGAAGAAUUAUAUUUUUGAAAAUAAAAAAUAUUUAUUUUCAAAUAAUAUUUCUAAUACGUGUAGCCUUGCAUAAUGUUUUUUUUUUCUUUUUAUUUUAUUCAAUCAAUCUAAUGUGUUUGUCCAUUUCUUUUAUCAAUUGAUUGAAUAAAAAUACAUUAUAAUAAUCGUGUAAAUAUCCAGUCUUGCGAUAUUAAAUAUCUUGAUCCACACAUGUAUCUUGAUUUUUCAAGUUUUAUUUUUAAGUAUUGUUAAUGACUUAUUAUUAAUUUAUUAGCACACAUAGUUCUCGGUUUACUUGAUUACAUGUAUUUUUGAUCUACACUUCAAUUUUUUGAAUUAUAGAAAUGCAUUGAAAAAACUUAUUUAUAUAAUGUUUUUAUAGAAAAUAAAAAUAUCUGAUCCGUAACGGAGCGCGGUUCAUAUAACUAGUAAAUACUAAAUUGAAGUGAUAAAAAAUAACAUAAAGCACAAGUAAAUUACAUAUACAAGUGAUCAAUGAUAGAGGCUCCUCUAUGUAUAGAUAAUGGAGCAUUGAUUCUUAAGUUUAGGGAGACACAUGGUGCCCGUGUCAGUUUAUAUUGGAUCCUGUGCUUGUAAGUAAUGAUGGAUUCUCAUGAGUCCUACUAUUUAACAUGCUUAAGAAUAAAGUUGACAUGUUGGAUAAUUGAUUGAUCUCUUAGUUCAAGUAAUCUGAUUCAUUCUUCAUAGUUAAUGUAUCUAGUGACUUGAUAUAAAAAGCCUAGUGGGUUGGUAACUGGUAGCAUGUGAUGUCUAGUAAGCUAGGUGACAGGUAACUAGUACCUAUAAAAAGUCCCAUUUGAUGGACGUGGGGAUUCUCAGAUGGUAAAGUCGAUAACUUUAUGGAAAGAGAAAGUGCAAUAAUAUUUUAAAGAGAUAUACUCUGAAAAUAUAUACAGUUAUACACAAUAGAAAAUGAAGAGAUUGUGAACCUUUAACUUGAUGGAUUCAUGGUGUAUUUAUAGCUUAUAAAUUUUAUCCUUUUAUGGAGAGGAGGGGCUGAAGUGUAAUUUCAAUAUUGUGAUAUUUUGAGUUGUAUUCCACUCAAAAUAAUAUGUAUUUGAUCAAUAUAAAAUAUCAAAAGAUGUAAGUUGGAUUUUGAAAAAUUCUCUAGUGAGUAUUGGGCUCGGAUAAGGUGCCCGAGCCCAUUGGAGGUGAAAGCAGGUUCGGGAGUACUACCUGGACUCAAACACACUAAGCUCAGGCGUGAAAACCUGUUCCCAUGAUGGCUAUAGGGUGCAUGCCCAACACCAUUUGGGCGUACACCCUACAUAGGUACACAUACAUUGGGGUGUAUUGAGCGUACAUACACUGGGCAAAUGCCCAAUGCACUGCAUAAUGCCCAUGCAUUAGACGUUCAUACGCCCAUUAAGGAGCAUGGGCUUGGGCUCCUUGCCCGAGCCCAUGUUCUUGGUGCGUGGAUAGCCCGAGCUCAUGUUCCUUGGGUGGUUUUUGAGUUUUUUUUUUCUCUUUUAGAGGAUUUCUUUGGGUCUAUUUUGAGGGAUUUUUUUGGUCAAUUUUAUUUGUAUCCAUCAGAUUCUAUUAUCAAUUUAAAAAGUCUGAAGUGAUAGAUUAAAAAUAUAUUUUGUAUAUAAGUUCCUCAUUUUCCAUUCGUAACCCAACAACACAUCUUGAAACAUUAAACUGACUUAAACCUUCAAAUAGAGAAUUGAAUUUUAAUGAAAUUUAACCUUUUUUUACAAUAUCUGACACUAAGCAACGAAUAGCUUCUAUAAAGAGGAUUUUUUAGGGAUUUUUUUUUAAUUCUUUUCUAUUUAGUGUAAGAAGUUAAAUUUUAUGUUUAAUAUUUUUAUUUUUCAUAGUUUAUUUAGAAUUUUUAUUAAUUUUUUUAUUUUUAGGUUUCUAGUUUGUUUAGGUUAGUUUUUUAAGUUUAUUUAAGGAGUUGUAAACCUCUUAGUAAGGAAAACUACAUGAACAUAAAAUAUUCAGUAAUAAAAUUAUAAUUUAGGGUUUUGUGUGACAAUUUUAUUUAACUUCAAUGAUACUAGUGGUUAUGUCUUUAUAGCUUAUUGUUUUUAUGUUUGUGUUUCCGUUUAUGUUAGUUGGUAUUAAAGUUCAAUGAUACUAGUGGUUAUUCGCUUGCUAUGUGCUAGAAUAACAAUGAUUAGAAAAUGCUAUGUGCUAAAAUAACAACUCUAAAAUAAAGAAAAUGUAAUAAAAUUUCUAAAAAAACUAAGAGAAAUAAAAUUACUUCUUUCAUGAAUUCAAUCUUGAUUUAUAAUAGAACUCAUGUUUGGAGGCACUUAGGCCUUUUCAACACAGUUAUUUUAUAAUUAUCUAUUUAGAUGGAAGGCAAUUAAGUCUUUCACCAUAUAUAAAAUUAAUUUUAAAAAAAGAUGGUUGGUAAAUGCCACUCACAUGCCAGUAAGUAGGAGGUAUUCAUGUUUUUUAGGCGAUACAUAUGGCACCUUACAAUGGUCAAAUGUCGUUGUUCGCUACAGUGUGUAAAGUAGAGCAUCAUCAUUUUCAAAGUGAUAGGGCACAUAUUCACAAUGGAGGUGAGGUUAAGCUCUGAUGAAUCUUUUUUUUCUUCUUUUUCUUUUCUCUCUCCUAGCCUCAAAAUUUUCACUAGCCCUUUAAAAAAUUAAUUGUGUCAUCCAGUUUGGUCUUUAUUCUUUUGAUUGCUAUUUGUUUUUUCAAUUUUAUUCCUCAUCAUUUUAUCUUGUUUAAUUUUUGUGUCCAAUUUUGGUCCUCAUGCUUUGAUUGCUAUUUUUUUAAUCAUUUUCUUAAUUUAUUUUAAAUUUUAAUUUAGUCCCUCAUUGUUUUAUUUCAUUUAAUUUUUAUGCCAAAUUUAAUCUUUAUGUUUUUUAUUGCUAUUUGUUUUGUUUAUCUAAUUUUGGAUGAUUAGGGAUUUUUCUUGGUAUUUUUUAGAGUUUGCCUUAAAUGGUUUAAUCUUGAUCUCAUAACUCAAGUCACUAGUUUUGAGAAUUAGCCCGAUUUAACUUCAAUAUUUUUUAUGCCGUUUUCUUAAAAUUGAUUAUUUUUUAAUUUUAUCAUUUCAUUUUAGGUUAUUGGAUCUUGAGUUUCAUGGUUUUUUCCACUUUUCUUUUUCUAUUUUAUCCUAGGUCAUGGGUUUGUUGGGUGAACCCAGAUUCAUUCAAGUUUUAAUUUUUAUUCAGUCUUGAGUUUCAUGGUUUUUAUUUAAUUUUUUUAUUUCAUCAUUCGACAUUGAGUUAUUGGGUCAUUUGAAAUUCAUUAUUAUGCCUUAAGCUUUGUGAUUUUAUUUUUUUUUCAUUUUUCUUUUUGUGGGGUUAACCUAGGUUGACUUCGGAUUUUUUUGGUAUUUCUUUUAUUUUUCUUUGAUCUUUUUUUCUAGGUCAUUUUUAUUUUGAAUAAUUUUUUAUCCCGAUCACAUUAUGUGGAUUGCGAGUUAGUUGAGUGAAUCUUAGCUAUCUCAAUUUGUUUUACGUUGCUUUUUUUUAAUGAUUUUUUUAUUUCAAUUUAAUUCUUUGACAUUAGAUUGUUGGGUCAUGAUCUUAGUGAUUUUUUCCACUUUCCUUUAUAUGAAGUUGGCCCAAGUUACAAGUUAAUCAAAUUAACCCGGUUUAUAUGAGUGGGGCACAAGUUACAAGUUAAUCAAAUUAACUCGGGUGGACUCAAUUGUUUUCUUGACAUUGACUUCGAUCUUUUUAUUUAAGUUUAUUUUUUAAUUUAUUUUUUUUAUUUUGAUCUCAUAUUGAGGGUAGUGGGUAGUUAGGUGAGCCCAGGUUGACUCGUGUUGAUGUGAAUCUCGUGAUCACGUAGUCACGCAACCCACAAUCAAAAUUAAGAUCUAAUCCCGGAAAGCCGAAAUAGAUCUGAUAGGAGUCUGACACAAUGGAAACUUGCCCCAAGGCACCAACACUAUUGGAAUGAGUAGAAUGACGCCACGAAGCCAAUUAAUCUUCGAUAAAUCAGAUUCAAUUCGUUCAAGAACUAAAGAAUGCAAGAAUCACUCUCACACAUUAAAACUGAAAAAUUCAGAAGUAAUAAUCAUCAAAGCUCCCAAAAUUUUGGCUUGCAUGAGUUUAAAUAGUUCUUGAAAAAUUAACCCUAAUGGACCCCUUAUAUGGACUUAUAUGAGGUCCACUCAAAACUGAUGCAAAAUCCUAAACUGAAAAGCCCAUAACUUAAUCCAAACAAGCCUUGGAUCCUAGCUGAAAACAAAGUAUUAAUUAAGCUCAAACAUAAAAGAAAAUAAUAAAAAUAACUAACUUGUCAUUAAAUACCACCAGCCCUUCUUUCUUUGUGUAGUUAGGAUGAAUAAGGGAAUCCUUAUAAGAAAAUUAUUCUAAAACAUUAAUGAAUCAUUGCCACACUUGGAGAAUAUUAUAUUGCAGCUCAUUAAAGAUCCUUAAGGAACUAGGAAAUUCCCAAAACAAGCUCCCACAUCCUUGUAGGAAAAUGAUCCUUGCUGAACAGGAAGUCCACAAGUUAAAAGGAAGUAAAUAAUAGAAUUCGCAUAACCUGUUCGGACCUAUAUUGCAAGUCUUUUCCGAACAUGGAUUCUUCUAAAAAUGUACCCCAACAUAGAAAAACAUUUUUGAAAUCUUCUAGUAAAGUUUCAGCUCGAUCCAACGGUUGGAUUUGAAGUUAUGCUCAAUAAUGUAAAACUGAACGGUAGAAACUUUUACGCCAAAAUCCAAAUCUGACAUUGCUUGGUUCGUAUCACAAGGCUGAACUGUAUCACGUGUUUUUUCUUCGAUGUUUUUAUUUUUAAAUUUUAUUUUUCAAGUUUUAUCUUUUGAUAUUAGGUUAUUGGGUUUUACUUAAAGGAUAAAGGGGGGGUUCAUUGGAAUCUAAAAGUAAGUUUGACAUAUUCAUGAUGAAUAAAAGUACAAAAGUAGAUUAAUUGAAAUAUUAUUAGUUUAAUUAUAUAAAUAUUAUGUAAAGUUCGAUGUCAUUUAUCCACACACAAAAACAAAUUGCAAUAUUAACCCGGAGGUAAGAAGUCUAGGGUAUCUUGAGAAGAGUGAUCAUGGAUCCAAGGUUAAUUUUGAGAAUUUGUUUCAAAGAUGUAAGUAGAGAAAAUAACUUUUUGAUUGGGAUAAAUAUAAUAUUGAAAUUAAAAUUUUGAUAAUUCUAGUUUUUUUGUGAAUCGGAAUCAAAUACCAAAAUUUGAUAAGGAUGAUGAAAAUGAUGGUAAAGAAAAAGAUUUAAAUGCAAAAUUUUUAAUUAGUGAUAUCCACGAGAAGAUAACAAAAAUAGAUGUGGUUACGAUGCAUAGCGUGAAGGAUGUGUGUUUGAGAAAAAAAAUUAGAAUUAAUGAGGUGAAAGCUGAUGCUAUUGCAAUCCAGCUCAUGCAAGACUUCCAAGUCGUUGGCAGUAUCCAAUUCGAAUAUUAUAGACUUCGUCUAAGGUAGUUUACGAAGAAAGUACCCGUAAGACAUGGUUAUAAUAAAAAGUCGUUGGCAGUAUCCAAUCGAAUAUUAUAGACUUCGUCUACGGUAGUUUACAAAGAAAGUACCCAUAAGCAUGAUUACAAUAAAAAGUAUACAUUUCCUGAAAAAAAGAAAUGAAAAACACUACAAAGCUGAGAAAGGCAGACAAUAUCAAUUGUCAAAAUCUAAGGAUACUCAAAUGAGUUUCGGAAGGAAAACCUGAAAAUGUACGAGAGAACACAACCCCAUCAUUGAAGCUGCUAUUUAUAUAUAUAUAUAUAGACAUGAUCUAAUGCUAGCAAGCUGCGAAUCAUAUAUUUUAAGCAGCACACAUUGAGAAAUGAUUUCAGUCUCAUCUUGCCUUUGGGUCAAUUAUUUUAGAAAACACACCCCUUGCUCUUUGAUCUGGAUCACUUUGGGUGACACUUUCACGAGUGCUGAUAAGCCACGAUCUGAAGAAUCUCAAAGUCCACGUCAUUCUAAGAGGAUCCAUAAACCAAAUCCCAAAUAUCUGGGAUGAGCUGAUCGUGAGUUAAUGCAUGCAUAACGGAAGAAGCCAUUAAACAGGGGUCGUGGCUAUCAAGGAGUAAUGGAAGGAGGGGUUACACCCGUUAUAUCACCAUUUAUGGUCAUCAGUUAUAUCUUAAUUAAUUCCAAGUUAUUAGUAGCUUUAUUGUUCCCUUUGUAUUUCAGUUUUAUUUGUAAUUCACUUUGGCUAUUUAAGCAGCUAAAGUUUUAAUAAGAAGAUAUAAUUUCAGUAAAAAAGUGUGGUUUAGUUCUCACCCGAAGAGAACCUUUAUAAUUUGUGCUGGGACCUAACAUUGGUAUCAGAGCACGUUAUGGGAACCAACAAGGAGCGUAUUGAGCACCUGGAAUCUGGACUUGGGAUAGUUCAAGAUGGUCUUCAGAGAAUGGAGUUGGGAGUGAAUGAUAAACUCCAACAUUUGGAAGACACUCUUACUCGACUUGCCAAUAUGUUGAGGCAAAUCAAGAGAAUCCUAACCGCGACAAUUAUCAUAGAGAAGGCAACAAUGGGGGUCGGCAGAUUAUCUCCUCCAAAACAGCAAAACUGGACUUCCACGAUUUUCAGGGGAUGACCCAACCGAAUGGUUCAACCGUGUGGAACAAUUCUUUGAAUACUUGGGCACAGUUGAAAACCAAAAGGUAGCCAUGGCUGCUUACCAUCUUGAAGGGGAGGCCAACCAGUGGUGGCAAUGGCUUCAAAGGACGUUGCAGGGAGAAGGGCAAGUGAUUUCAUGGGCAAAUUUCAAGAAGAGUUAUGGGCUCGUUUCGGACCAUCAGGCUGUGAAGAUUUUGAUGAAGCUCUCUCAAAAAUCAAACAGGAGGGACAUUGAGGGAUUACCAACGGGAGUUCGAGAAGCUUGGAAAUAAGGUACAAGGUUGGACACAGAAAGCAUUAGUGGGAACAUUCAUGGGGGUCUGAAGACAGAAAUUUCUGAAGGGAUUCGGAUGUUUAACCACAAUCCCUCAAGGAGGUCAUUAAUCUAGCAAGAAUGAGAGAUGAGCAACUUACAAGACAGAGGCGGUUCUACGACCAGCACCUCCAAAAAUUCCUCUAGCUCUUCCACCACCCAAUCGGGUAACUCCUGCUAGUCGGUCUACUCCGCUUAGGCGUUUGUCAUGGGAGGAGAUGCAAAGAAGAAGAGUGCAAGGCCUUUGUUUCAAUUGUAAUGAAAGGUUUACAGCCGGGCACAAAUGUCAACAACCUCAGCUACUACUCUUGGAAGGUUACAUAGAUGCUGGUAAUAUGUCCUAUGAAGAUAUUACUUAUCCACAAACCAGGGGGUUUGUACAAGGAGAAGAUACAGUAGAGGCAUGCGAACCAGAAUUGGAACCUGAAAUCACUCUGCAUGCAUUAACAGGGUGGACAGCCCCAAGAACAAUGCGAGUGACAGCGAAGGUGGGCUCUCAUACGGUGAUGGUGUUGAUAGACAGUGGAUCCACACACAACUUCAUCAGUGAUCGCUUAGCAAACACACUACAUCUACCAGUGAAACCAACCAAGUCGUUCACUGUUCGGGUUGCUAAUGGCCAGCGUCUACAUUGCCAAGGACAAUUUGAUAAGGUACCCGUGAAUUUACAAGGCACUGAAUUUUAUCUCACACUCUUCUCUCUGCCAUUAUCAGGGCUUGAUCUAGUGUUGGGCAUCCAAUGGUUAGAAUUGUUGGGAUCAGUGGUUUGUAACUGGAAAGACUUAACUAUGGACUUCAUUUGGAAUAAUCAAGCUCGAAGGUUGCAAGGAGUGGGGAGCAAUCUAUUCAAGAGGCUACUUUAAAACAAGUCUCAAAAGAUUGUCGACAGCAACAGAUGUUAUUUGCAGUAUGUUUCCUUUCAACCACGAGGACAAAAUUCUGAAGGCAGACUAUGGCAAUCAAGACAUACAGCAGUGAUAAAGGAGUAUCAGGAUGUAUUCCAAGAACCCUCAUGCUUACCACCUGUGCGGAGGUGACCAUUGCAUUGCACUUAAGGAGGGCACUGAGCCGGUUAAUGUACGACCCUACGAUAUGCUCACUUUCAGAAAGAAGAAAUUGAAAAGCAAGUGCAGGAGAUGCUGAAAUCAGGACAUAUACGUACUAGCACCAGUCCUUUUUCUUCACCAGUGUACUCGUACGAAAAAAAUGGUAGUUGGAGAUUUUGCACGGAUUAUCGCGCACUAAAUAAUGCAACUAUCAAGGAUCGGUUCCCCAUUCCAACCGUGGAGGAUAUGCUUGACGAAUUAUAUGGAGCGGCAUAUUUUACGAAACUGGAUUUACGAGCUGGAUAUCACCAAGUAAGGGUCAAUCCUUCUGAUAUUUCUAAGACUGCUUUUCGUACUCAUAAUGGCCAUUAUGAAUACCUCGUUAUGCCUUUUGGCCUAUGUAAUGCACCUUCCACAUUUCAGGCCAUCAUGAACACUAUUUUUCGACCUCACCUUCGAAAAUUCAUUCUAGUUUUCUUCGAUGAUAUCCUUAUCUAUAGUACUACAUGGGACAAACAUGUGGAACACAUUGCACAAACUCUGCAGAUUUUAAGACAACAUCAGUUUUUUGCUAAAGCUAGCAAAUGUGUUAUCGGCCAACAAGAAUUGGAGUAUCUGGGGCAUAUCAUUACACCGCAAGGAGUGAAAGUUGAUGACCAAAAGAUUACAGCCAUGCUUGCAUGGCCUCGACCUACUAAUAUUUCUGAAUUGCGUGGUUUUUUAGGAUUAACAGGUUAUUACAGGAAGUUCGUCCAAAAUUACGGCAUCAUUGCUCGACCCCUUACCAAUCUAUUAAAGAAGGGGAAAUUUGGAUGGCAUGAUGAGGCAGAGGCAGCCUUCUCAGCUCUCAAGCAAGCCAUGACAACCACUCCCACUUUAGCCAUGCCUAAUUUCAAUGAUUCAUUCACAAUUGAAACAGAUGCUUCAGGAGAUGGUAUUGGUGCGGUUCUAACACAGCAAGGCAAACCCAUCGCCUACAUGAGUCGGGCACUGGGAGUCACAAAAAAAUCCUGGUCCACCUACGCCAGAGAAAUGCUUGCAAUUGUAGAAGCCAUCCGUUUAUGGCGUCCUUAUAUACUGGGAAGAAAAUUCUUCAUUGAAACCGACCAGCGUAGCUUGAAGUAUCUACUGGAUCAACGAAUAGCAACACCAGAACAGCAAAAGUGGGUAGCCAAACUACUGGGUUAUGACUAUGAAAUUCGUUAUCGUCCAGGCCGCGAAAACUCAGCUGCAGAUGCACUCUCCCGCAGGCCAAACAGCCCCACACUUCAUCAUUUGCACGUGGCCACCGUAACCUUGUGGGAUGAAAUCAAAGAAGCAUACAUUGGGAAUAAAUACAUUCAGUCAGUAGAGCGGGUAGCCAAGGCUCAACCCAAUGGACCAUAUUCACAACGCCAAGGAUUGUGGCUAUUCAAGCACAGAGUGAUAAUUCCUACAUGUGAACUGCUACGCACCAAGUUAUUGUAUGAAGCACACAAUACCAAGAUUGGCGGACACUCUGGAGUCUUACGAACAGUCAAACGACUAGCUCAUCAAUUUUACUGGCCUAAGAUGCAACAAGAUGUCCAAGAAUAUGUCCGACGCUGUGAAGUAUGCCAAAGAAUGAAAUCAGACACUCUUUCCCCUGCUGGACUCCUACAGCCUUUACCCGUUCCGUGUCAAGUUUGGGAUGAUAUUACUCUUGAUUUCGUUGAAGGAUUGCCAACCUCCCAUGGAAAAGAUACAAUCUUAGUAGUGGUUGACAGGUUAAGCAAAUUUGCCCAUUUCUUGCCCUUAUCCCAUCCAUUUACUACAAAAGGAGUAGCUGAAAGAUUUGUGGAAGGAAUUAUUAAGCUACAUGGCAUUCCUAAAUCAAUCAUUAGCGAUCGAGAUCCCAUCUUUAUCAGCCAAUUUUGGCAACAGUUAUUUCGCUUGUCAGGGACACAACUAAAACUCAGCUCUGCCUAUCAUCCACAAACAGACGGCCAAACCGAGGUGGUAAAUCGAUGUGUUGAACAAUAUCUUCGCUGCUUUGUUCAUCAAUGGCCGCGCAAGUGGAGCACCUAUAUUCCUUGGGCUGAGCUCUGGUAUAACACCACAUUCCAUGCCUCUACUAAAAUGACUCCAUUUCAGGCAUUGUAUGGUCGACUGCCUCCUCUCCUUCCCAAUUACCAGGGUGGUGAUGCGUCGGUGCAUGAGGUGGACAAGAAUCUCAUGUCUAGAGAUGAGUUACUAAGUCACCUAAAGACAAAUUUGGAGAAAUCCAGCAAUCGUAUGAAGCAGACAGCAGACAAAAAAAGAAGGGAGGUGACUUUUGCAGUAGGUGAUAUGGUGUUUCUCAAGUUACACCCCUAUCGACAACAAUCGGUUUUUAAACGUGUGCACCAAAAGCUUGCAAGUCGAUUUUACGGCCCUUAUCCAGUAGUUCAAAAAAUCGGCGCAGUUGCUUACAAACUUCAACUACCAGAGGGCAGUCGUAUUCACCCGGUCUUCCACGUCUCUCUACUCAAGAAAUAUGUGGGCGACCUAGUGGUGUCAUCUACAGAAUUACCACCAGUGAAUGAUGAAGGCCUAAUUAUACUGGAACCACAACAGAUUUUGGACACUCGCUGGGUCAAACAGGGAAACAAAUUUGAAGAGGAGAGCUUGAUUCAGUGGCAACGACUACCAGCAGAGGAGGCCACAUGGGAACUAACUAAGUCGUUGCUUGAGCAAUUUCCACACAUCAACCUUGAGGACAAGGUUUUGCUUGGUGGGGGAGGUAUUGAUAAGCCACGAUCUGAAGAAUCUCAAAGUCCACGUCAUUCUAAGAGGAUCCAUAAACCAAAUCCCAAAUAUCUGGGAUGAGCUGAUCGUGAGUUAAUGCAUGCAUAACGGAAGAAGCCAUUAAACAGGGGUCGUGGCUAUCAAGGAGUAAUGGAAGGAGGGGUUACACCCGUUAUAUCACCAUUUAUGGUCAUCAGUUAUAUCUUAAUUAAUUCCAAGUUAUUAGUAGCUUUAUUGUUCCCUUUGUAUUUCAGUUUUAUUUGUAAUUCACUUUGGCUAUUUAAGCAGCUAAAGUUUUAAUAAGAAAAGAUAUAUAAUUUCAGUAAAAAAGUGUGGUUUAGUUCUCACCCGAAGAGAACCUUUAUAAUAUUGUGAUGGGACCUAACAUUGGUAUCAGAGCACGUUAUGGGAACCAACAAGGAGCGUAUUGAGCACCUGGAAUCUGGACUUGGGAUAGUUCAAGAUGGUCUUCAGAGAAUGGAGUUGGGAGUGAAUGAUAAACUCCAACAUUUGGAAGACACUCUUACUCGACUUGCCAAUAUGUUGAGGGCAAAUCUACGAGAGAAACAAAAUGUACGAGAGAACACAACCCCAUCAUUGAAGCUGCUAUUUAUAUAUAUAUAUAUAGACAUGAUCUAAUGCUAGCAAGCUGCGAAUCAUAUAUUUUAAGCAGCACACAUUGAGAAAUGAUUUCAGUCUCAUCUUGCCUUUGGGUCAAUUAUUUCAGAAAACACACCCCUUGCUCUUUGAUCUGGAUCACUUUGGGUGACACUUUCACGAGUGCUAACAGUGCUCCUUGAAUGUGACUCCGCUCCACUAAACAUGUCAUCGUCAUCAGUGGUCAUGGCAUCUCGAUGUGGUGAAAAUGAGCUUUUAUUUUCCAUAUUGAUCCCUUCUACACUGUUGGCAUUUUUCUCAGCAGAUUGUUGAAGCUGCAAUGCAAAUUCAAGGCCCCAAACGACAUCACCCAUUUUAGGGCGUUCAAUUCCUUGACCAUGUAAGCAACUGUUAGCAAUCUCUGCGAACUUAUUUAAAGAGACGGGGGCAACCUCGCCCUUUAAAUGUGGAUCCACGAUCUGAUCAAGGGUUCCUCUUUGGUAACAUUUUCGUGCCCAGUCAGCUAAGCUUGCUUGAUCUUUCGGUGAACUUGGAAUCACUGGUGGCCUUGCACAUAGCACCUCAAACAAAACCACACCGAAUGAAUAAACAUCAGAUUUUCUGUCAGGUGUUGCCUACGGUAGUACUCUGGAUCCACAUAUCCAAUGCUACCUCUAACUACAGUGCUAACAUGGGUUUGGGAUGUACUAGUGGGACCCAAUCUGGACAGCCCAAAAUCUGAAACCUUAGCCACCCAAUUCUCAUCUAACAAUAUGUUUGUUGACUUCACAUCACGGUGAAUGAUUGUGUGCUUUGCUCCUGAAUGAAGAUAAUGCAACCCUUUUGCAGCACCGAUGCAUAUUUCUAGCCUUUGCUUCCAUGGAAGAGGAGAGUUCUUUGUUUUGUAUAGAUGUUCUCUAAGAGUGCCUCUUGACAUGUAAUCGUAUACAAGGAUCAUCUCGCCAUGAUCAUCACAGUAUCCAAUCAGCGACACUAGAUGGAGGUGGCGCAGAUUGGAUAACAUCUCAAUCUCUGUCUGGAACUCACGUGUCCCUUGCUUUGAUGAUGAAUCUAGUCGUUUGAUGGCUACUGCACCGUAUUCAAUGUAUCCUUUAUACACAGUACCAAAUCCCCCUGAACCAAUAAUAUUUUGAUCAUCAAAGUGUCCUGUUGCUUCGUUGAUUUCGAAAAAUGUAAACCGUCGGCAAAGAUCAGUAGGAGUGAUGAAGAGAUUGUAGUCGUGGACCUAGAUGUUUGUGAUAUUAGAGUCCAGGAGGAUUUUUCCUCACUCUUGCUAGGGUCCUUGACUCGCUUCUGCUUGAAAGCAAAGAAAUAAAGAAUAAGAGAGCAAGCAAACACUGCACCUAUGGAACCUCCAACGAUGGCUAUAACCGUAAGUAUUGAUGAUCUUUUGCCCGUUCUUCUGUCUUGUAGACUUGGAUGUUGUUCUGCUGGUGGAGGAGCCACUGUUGGCUCAGGGUUGAAUCCUGCAAGAUUUCCGUCUGUUGUAUUCAGCUUGAAUAUUUCCAAGCCAUUCAAGAUUGCAUCAGCAUAAGUAGGUUUCAGUUCCAUGUUAGGGUGUAGUUCGAGCCACAAGCCCUGCUUGCUCUGGCUCCCUGAGGGACCAGCACGAUGUAGUCUUUGUAAACUGGAAUGCCGUUGCCACCGCUCAUAUGGAUCACAUCUGCAUCAUGGCUGUGCUAUUUGAUUGUUGAUGAAUAUUAAAAAUACCUGUUGAUUUUCAGUUUUGAACUCCAUUCGAGUCUCACAAAAGUGGAGUCUAAGGAGAUAAUUGAAACCAGCAUCAACUGGGAAGAUCCAUGUGAGAUUGUAAUUCAUGUUAAGAAGUGGUUCAGGACCCAUAGAACGCAUAGUACUAUAUACCAUAACAGGUGCGGAGUAAGCUGGCGUUUUGGUUGUGUACUCUAUCUUGACGCCUGAGUGAUAUGGAGUGUUUCCAGCUUUUCCAAAGAGAUACCCUGAAUCUUGAUGCCAUGUCCUGUACAUUCCAGUCUUGUCUCCAGUGCUGCUGAUAUCUUGCCCCCCAACAUUCAGUCGAUAAACUGUCUCAAGCGCAGUUGUGUUACCCAGAUAGAAGGGGGCGGUGCCCACAUAGGUCGGUGGAUUAUCAUCGCCACGAGCAUAGAAGCUGUCUGGCAUGGAAACGAUUUCGAUACCAUUAACGAAGGCAAAAGAUGCUGGAGACGGAAUGAAGGUUAAUUCAAGCUUCUGGUUGUCCCACACGGUGAUGAUGAACUCUUUGGUGAAGUAGUCAACUGGAGGUCUUAUAGCAGAAACUGUAAGAGAGGCACUAAAGUUGUUUAGUAGCUUGUAGUUGUUGGCACUAAGCGAAAAAUAGGAUUUGGAUAUAUCAAGAUUUGAGUAAGAAGAUGGAUAAAAGUAGAGACGCACAAAUUUUGGGCCAGGCAAGACUGGAAUUGUGUAAGUGAAUUUAGAGUGAAGAAUACGGGCUGUCAUGUAUGGGACUUGGUCGACAGAGGGGUCUUGAGUGGAGGCUUCAAACACAGAUGAGGCUUCUGGGGGGUUAGAGGCAGCAAACUUAGACUGGGAAUCACCAUCCCAACUGCGACCAUCUGGAGAUGACAAAUUAGAGGAUGCACCACAGUUAAGGAGUAUUAGAUCAGUGGGGCUGUAUGGCAGCAAGUAAUCUUCAGUAGCAGUAGCAUAGAGGAAGAGAUGGAGGGGAGGGAGAAGGUAGAGAGCGAUGAAGAUGGACAUUAUGCUAUUUCUUUUGUGGAAUAAGUUGGAGUAAGAAAACCUAUGCAUUAAAUGCAAAGAUUUUGAUUUAAGGGAAGAUGAUCAGUGGCGUUUUUGUCUCCAUACAGUAUUUUUGCUCAGUUGAGAAUAAUCCAAUAAUAUAUUUGAAGCCCGGGGAGUUGAAAAUUCGACGAUAUGGCUAAUGGGACAUAUUGGUCGCUGUACUUAGUCAGCUUUGGAUGGCUGCUUUCCAUUGUGUGGUUCUGAAUUCUGCAAUAAAGACGCCAUGAAUAGUCUAUGAAACUUAUUUUUCUUUUCUUUUUUCCUUAACUUUUUCAUUGUUGGAUUAAGAUCACACACACCACUUAAUUUCUUAUUUGAUUAAUAUUCUUAACGAGGUUGAAUGUAUUUCAGGUUGGUGUUCACCAUAACAAAUGCAGUAAUCACAGCUCCGAGAUUAGGAUUCAAAAGGUGCAAAGCUUCUUUUUCCUUAUGGCCACCGCCUUGAUACAAUGAUUGUCGCAAGUGCAAGGUCUAUAUAAUCCUCACCGAUGCCUUCUGUCCAAUACACACACAUCCUCAUUAUAGGCUGGCCUUGCUUCAGUCUUCAAUAAGAAACAUCGUUCUUGUUCCUCAUGAGUAGCCCUUUCACUCGCCUCAGAUCCAUGAAGUCUCAUUUACUCCUUUCUAUUAUUCUUCUUCAAUGCUGUCUUACUGAUAAAAUGCUCUUGUUUUUGGUGUUAUAUAUUCUUCAAUGCUGUCUUACUGAUAAAAUGCUCAAAUGAGACUUCAUGGAUCUGAGGCGAGUGAAAGGGCUACUCAUGAGGAACAAGAACGAUGUUUCUUAUUGAAGACUGAAGUAUAUAUAUAUAUAUAUAUAUAUAUAUAUAAAAUUUUACACAGGCUCAAAGGAUCGACCUAUUUCUUUUUGGUUCAUGAGUGUGCCUUUUUGGGCUGAGUUUAAAACCAAAAAUCUUCUCAUCUGGUAUAGUAAUCGCUUAAUUACUACAAAACUUGGUGGUAAUGAGAAAUCUUUCUUCCCAUUAAUCGAAGAAUAAUGGAUUUACCUCUCGACAUACUUGGUGCCGAAUAAAAUCAUUAGCACUAGUGAAGAAGAGGCAAGCUGUCCUCUCUUCCCUGGAGAUGGCAAUUUGUUCUCUCUCAUCCUGUUAAGCUUGAUUUCCAUAAUUGAGGGGAAAUGAAUGGAGUUCUCGGUGGAUGAAAAAUAAUUGGAAUAAUAAAUGAAAUGAAAUUGUGUUUCAUUGUUGAAACAAUCAUGCUGAAAUCACUUCAAUCCAAGUCUCUACAUUGAAUAGGUCUAGCAAAUGUUCUUAUCUUGUACAAACAGGACACCUUAAGCAAACCUGUGAACAUUCCAAGAUCUUUUUUUCAACUUCAUAGCUUGCAAUAGAUUAAUGAGGAAGCUUCUCCAUUAAUUAGUGCACGAGAAAGACAAUCACUAGACAUCGUAUCGACAAAGCAAUUGCUUGCUAUUUUCUUCAAUUAUUAAUCAUCAUAAAGUACAUACAAAUUUUAUUGCUAUACUCAUCGGAAGCAUGAGUAGAAAGAAAGAAGAAAGAUUCAGACAGUCACCCUAGACGUAGAGCAAACUGAUCCCACCCAUCUUGGUGGAGCUCACAUAGACGGACUGGUUCACCUUGCGCUUUAUGGGUGGCUAUUCAAAUCGAAACCCACACAGACAGAUAAAGAACUGACCCCUUUGUCUCCUCUUCCUCGAUCAACUACCACGUUUGCACCGAUUGUAGUAAGUGCAGGGCCGAGUGUUAGGAUUGAUCGGUUUUGCACAGUCGCCAUAUAUUUGUGCAUUGCAAAUUGGUUGUCGUUCUAAACUAUCAUAGCUAAGAUAGUUACCCUGAGAGGCCAGUAGUCUCUGAUGCACUUCAGAUUCCAUAGAGAACUCCUCUUCAUUACCUUCACCGAUUGUGGCAUUGAAAAUGGGACUCGAGUUGCUUUCAAGAAAGGCAGCUGUAGAAGCAGAUGUGAUCACAAAAACCAGCAGGAUAGUUAAAGAGAGCCACCGGAGGAAUUCAAUACUUACGCUAGGCCUCAUCUCUUUCUGUCUGUACCCUUCUGUUACAGAGUUUGAAGAGCACUAAAUAGACGUCACUGCUAAGAAGGCUUCAAACUCUGGAUAUGGAGUGAAAGGCCAGCUUUUUUCCAUUGACUUGCUUUUUUGUGAAGACUUGGGUCUUCACAUGACUGUGAUUUUGACAUUGUGCGCUCUAAUUGCUUACAGCUGGCAAACUGGUUGGAUAAUGGUCCUUGCCAAUUCAAUCGUUUCCUCAUUGUUCGUUUGCAACCAUGAACAUUUAUUUUAGUGUUUGAUAGUGGUUUUUUAUAAUAUUUUUUAUUUAGAAAAAUAUUAAAAUAAUAUUUUUUAAAAUAUAUUUUUAAUAUCAAUAAUGCAAACACUCAUCAUGCAGCGUUUUCCGAGGGACAUCUAAUAGUUGUCGGAAACCAUGUGCGCGUCAAGUCCAUGGGCCAUCAGCUGAUGCUAAGUUUUGAAAAAAUUGCAAUUAUUUUUUUAUGGGAUCCUGCUAACAAACACUAGCAUUUCUCUUACUUUUAUGUAAUUAAAUGGUAGGGUAUAGCAGUUCUUACAAAGGGACCAUAGAAAUGUCUUUUGAACUGGUGCUAUUGGCAUACCCAUAAAUCUAUUGGCGUAACAUUUUGGAAAUGGAAUGUCAAGGUUUUUUCUUCUCUAACAUGAAAGCUUUCUCCUUUUUUUUUCGUUUAUUAAUAUUCAUAAAUUAAGAGAAAAUGUUGAUUUUUCAAUUGAAUAUACGUAAGGUAUGAAUUUGCUAUGCGUUUAGAGUACAUGAAAGACUUAUUUAUAUUAGGCUUUUUGAACUUUAAAACUAAUUAAAUUCUGCUUGAAGUUGAAAAUAUGUCAUGGAUGACGUGAUAACGUGAUAAGCACUUUUUGAAUAAUUGAAGGGGAUGGAUGUUUUGUUAAGGAUGACGUCAAUAUACACCCACACACUAUGAAGUUGAUUCAAAGAAUCAGGAUUAUAAUCUGGAUCUUCGUUAGUGAAUUUAUCCUCAUCAAAACUUGAUAUUUCGUACGAGGUUUCUUCGAGUGUUUCUUGUAUUCUGCCUUUGACCUUGAUGAUGCUAAGGUUUACUUGAAUUCGAUUUUAAGAGGUUAGAAAUGUAAAUUGUCUUUUUUAAGUUGGAGAUGAUAGGAAUUCUUGUAGCUAUGGAGUUUGUUGAGAUUGUAGCAAUAAGCUUGAGUUUCUCUGAAUUGGAUCCAUCAUUUGACUUUGAUGUAUCCCAUGAGAUCUGAAGAGUAACUAAUAUCUUUAUUUACAUCAUGCAUUGUAAUGAAAUUCCAAGAUAGCAUGAGACACCAAAGGUAGAGAUGAAAUUAUACAAAGAAACGGGAAUUGAAUUCGAAGGCAUUUUUACUAUAAACAAUUCCAAUUAUUGUGUGAUUUUUUAUGGGAGGAUUUCACUUAUAGAAGAAAAAUAUUUCCACCAAUUGUUUGAGAACCAAGUUGGUAAAUUUUUUGGACAAAUGUUUUAUCAAAAUGGAUGAACCAUAAAUGAUCAUGGUUUUAGAAAAAGAAAAUCAAACCAAGCUCGUUGAUAAUCAAAAUAAUUAUAUCUUUGAGAUUAGUAGUUUCAAGAAAAUCUUUCAAGGUGUAGGGACUUUGACUCAAUUAAGUCUUGAAAGGUUAAAACCUUUUAAAUUUUUAUUUUUGAAAAAAAUGGAUUAUUUACAUCUUCAUUAUGAGUCACUUCAGCAGAGUUAAUGUCAAACCAGAACAAACUCAUAAAAUUAUCUUGUUUUCAAUAGUUUUUCUAUAAUGAACUAAAAUUGAAAGGGGAAGAUAUAAAAAAUGAUCUUAUUUAGGUUUUCAUUGUAAAAUUAUUUUUUAAUUGGACAAAUAUGAAGAUUUAUAGUUUCUUGACUUGGAAGGUUUAAUAAGUUAAUUUUUUCAGGGAAGAUUUGGAGGGUAAUUAACACAAGUGGAAGCACAAGCAAAUACACAAUAACAAGUAGGGUAUAAAAGUUGUUACAAGGGACCAUAUAUAUUGUGUUUUGAACUGGUGCUAUUGGCAUACCCAUAAAUCUAUUGGAACAAUAUUUUGGAAAUAAAAUGUCAAAGUUUUUUUUUCUUCUUUAACAUGAAAACUUUCUUUUUUCCAUUUAUUAAUAUUCAUAAACCAGAGAGAAUGUGAUUUUUCAAUUGAAUAUAUAUAAGGUAUGAAUUUCCUAUGCCUUGAGAAUGCACCAGAGUGGUGGCCCGCGCGACACCACGGAUCGGACCAAACAUGUUUUUCAAUAUGAAAAAAAUCUUUAGGAGAUAGUUGGGUUUUUAAAAUAAAAAAAAAAUAGAUAAUAAUGUUAAACCUUGAUUAAUUUUAUAAUAUAAUAAAAAAAUUAAGCAACAAUAACAAAGAAAUAAAAAAUAAUUACAUACAAAACUGGAUUAACACACGAAACUCGUGACCUAACACAUGAGAUCAGGAUAACCCUAUAGGAAUAUGAUACCAGUAAAAAUCCAUUGUUGAAAAAGGACAUGGAAAAAAAAAUCAAAGGCAAUAAAAUAUUGAAGGAUGAAAUUAAGAAAAAAAGUUCAAAUAAAAAUAAAUCAAAAAAAUAAAAAUCAAAUCUAACAUAAAACAAAAUUAACUAAAAUAUUGAGAGAUACAAUUAAAAAAAACAAUUCAAUUAAGAGAAAGAUAUAAAAUAUUGAGGGAUACAAUUGAAAAGAUAAUUUAGUUAAGAGAAUAAUUAAAAAUCAAAAUAAAAAUAAUAGGGAUCAAAUCUAAAAUGUAAACAAACCAAAUGAGAAUUAAAUUGAAAGAAAAUUUUAAAUGCAUGCAUAAUCUAAAAUAAAUGAAAUAACAAUAAAAAAAAAGAAAUCAAAUCUAAAAGAAAAAUAAAUUGAAGUGCUAUAUAAAAUCUUACUUUUUGUUACCACACAAGCUCUCUAGAAAUUGAUCGGCAAUAUCACAAGGAUAAAAACACAAUUAUAAAAGCUAGAGCUUGGCUGUCAAACGAUACCUCAUGUGUUGUCUAAUCAAAACAAAAGUACUAACCCGUGACCGUAUAAAUUGCAUGUGCAACUGUUUUUUUUUUUAAAUAAAUUAAUAUAAUAUAUACCUAAAUACUAAAGUGCAUUUUAUCGAACUUGAUAAUCACAAAAAAACCAAAAACAAGAGACAAAAACAAAACCCCUUGACCAAGGGCAAAGACAAUUCAAAUGCAAGGACACUUCAGUUUUUCACUGUGCAUGUGAAAAGGAAUACUUGAAAGUGACCCUCUCCACUAGUCCAUUACUUUUUAUUUAGAAGGAUAUAAUGGUUAUUUUACCAUGAAAAUAAAAAAAAAAAAUUAAUAUACCCUACUUCCAAAGCCAGCAAAAUCAUUAUCUCACUAUUCCAAUCGACAUUAACAAUGAGUUUGGCUGUACAAUAAUAAACCUAUACUAAAAUGGGAGCUCUUUUAGUCUCUUCUAAUGAAAGACUUAUUUACAGGAGGCUUUUUUAACUUUAAAUCUAAUUAAAUUAUGCUUGAAGUUGAGAAUAUAUCUUGGAUAACGUGAUAUAUACACUUUUUUAAUAAUUGAAGUGGCUGAAUGUUUUGUCAAAUAUUAUUGAAUAAUUAAAUUAGGUGGAUUUUCAUAAAGGAUGACGUCCACAUAUAUAAAAGAUUCUUUUAUAUCCAUGUGUGUGUGUAACUCAGAAGAUUAGGACCAUAAUCUGGAUUUUCAUUAGCGAAUUCAUCCUCAUGAGAACUUGAUAUUUAUACAAGGCUUUUUGGAGUUUUUUCUUGUUCUGACUUUGAGCUUGAUGAUGCAAGGCUUUCUUGAAUUCGACUUUUAGAGGUGAGAAUUGUAAAUUGUCGUUCUUGAGAUGGAGUCGAUGGGGAAUGCUUGCAGCUAUGGAGUUUGAUGAGAUUGUAGCCGAGCAUGCACAACUUGAGAACAAGCUUGAGUUUUUCUGAAUUGGGUCCAUCGUUUGACUUCGAUUUUCCUCAUGAGAUCUAAAGAGUAACCAAUACCUUCAUCUACAUCAUUUAUUAUAAUGAAGUCCCAAGAUAGCAUGGGACACCAAAGGUUGAGAUGAAAUAAAAAGAGGCAUGAAUUGAAUUCAAAGGUAUUUUUGUUGUCAACAAUUCCUAUCUUUAUAUGAAUUUUUAGGGAGAAUCUUACUUAUUGAAGAAAAAUAUUACCACCAAUUGUUUGAGAACUAAGUUGGAAAAUUCUUUGGACAAUGUUUUAUCAAAAUGGAUGAAUGAUGAAUGGUCAUAGUUUUUUAGAAAAAGAAAUUAAACCAAGCUUGUUAAUAAUCAAAAUUACUGAUUGGUAGUUUUGAGAAAAUCUUUCAAGGUGCAGGGGUUUUGAUUCAUGUCUUGAAAGGUUAAAACCUUUUAAAUUUUUAUUUUUAUUUAAAAAAAAAAAAAACAGGAUUGUUUACAUCUUAAUUAUGAGUUAUUUCAACAAAGUUAAUGUCAACCAGAAUAAACUUAUAGAAUUGUCUUGUUUUCAACAUAUUUUCUAAAAUAAAUUGAAAUUGAGAGGGGGGAAUAUAAAGAAUGAUCUUAUUUGGGUCUUCAUUGUAAAAUUAUUUUUUAAUUGGACAAAUAUGAAGAUAAUAGUUUCUUGACUUGAAAGGGUUAAUGCAUUUUUUAGGGAGGAUUUAGAGAGUAAUUAACAUAAGUGGAAGUACAGCAAAAAACCAAUAGCAAGAGAAAGAAAUAAUAGUUGAAAGAGGAUGAGUAAAAGAAUCCUAAUUUAUAGUUUUAUUGAUGAAGAGAAAAAUCCACUAUUUUUUUUUGCCCCUUUAAGAUAUUUAGAAUCUUUAAAAAGUUAAAACCAAACUAAACAAAUUAAAAAAUCCCAAAGAAAAGUAACAAAAUUCCUAAACAAACUAAGAGAAAUAAAAUUAUCAUUCUCAAUAUUUAAUUUCCUGAACUAGAUAGAAAAAAAUAAAAUCACCAUAAAGAAAAUAUUUUUCUAAACUAAAUAGAAAAUAAUAAUAAUAAUAACUAAGAAAUUUUAUUUUCAUAAAAAUCCUGGCAUCAACAAUAAUGUUGUUGAAGGUGCAUUUUAAGAUUAAACAAACAAGGGUGUUUUGAGAGAUUAAAAAUAAUUUAAGUGAGGUGUUUGGACUGAGUGAUGUUGAUGAAAGGAUUCAAAAUUGAUUAUUUGAGACAAAAACUAGCCUCACAAUAGGAGGCCAUACCCUCCUUAAAGUAUCUUGAAUGCUUGAUGUUGUUGCUUGAAUUGGUUUUAAUGGUGUAAGAGUAUUUGAUUCUUUUAACUUCUUGACCGGGAUGCUCAUUUUGAGCCUAGUAAAGACUCUUUGACUUUUAUGAAUUCAAUCUUGUAAAAGUAUCUAAGAUUUGUAAAAAUAUCUAAAACAUAAUUCAGGCAUCUCAUAAACCUUUAAAGCUGGGUUUUAUCCUUGGUUUUUUCUACGGAUUUAUCAAUAAAUUUUAGUGAUCUAGUGAUUAGAGUUAUUGAUUCUUGAUACAUGUUGUAUCCUAAAAAAUAUAUUUUUAAUUAACAUCUUUAAGGUUGAGACAACUAAUCUAUUUUGUUUGAUAAUAUUGAGAAGCUUUUGUAAGUUUUCGAAAUGUUUGGUUAUUAAUUUUAAAAAUAAAAAGUCAUCAUCUAUGUAUAUAAUCAUAAAUUUUAAAUACAGAUUAAAGAUGUCAUUUAUAAUGGUCUGAAGUUUUAAAUGAGUAGUUCAAAAGGCAUUACAUCUCAUUUGUAAUGAAUAAAUGUAACAAUGAAUGUUGUUUAGUAAUGAUUUUAUUAUUAUUAUUAAAUUAGACUUGCUAGAAUCCUGACCUUAUGUCAGAUUUUGAAUAUAUUGAAGCAUUUUAAAGUCUCAUCUCUCUUAUCAUCGUGUAUUGGAUAUCUAAUAUAUUGAAGCACUUUGUUGAGAGGCUUGUAAUUGAUGACAUGUCUUAGUGCACACUAUACCAUUAAACAAUUUUAUUGACAGAUUAAUUUCGUCGGUGUAAGGCAUGACAUCUGUCGGUAAAAUUAUUACCGAUGGUCUCAUCGAUGAAAUUCGUCCGUCGGUAUACUAAUCGCCGGUAAUUUCCUAUUCCGUCGCUAAUGUUGUCGGAAUUAAAAAAAAAAACCAACCACCGCCGGUCUUACAAACGGUGACACGCUGCAAAAACAAAAUUUCCCACGAGAACAUUACCGACGGAAUAUAUCGGUCUACAUUUUUAACGGUAAUCAUCAACGGAAUAUCCAUCGGUGAUGGUGGCAUGACGGUAAAUAUUUUAGAACUCUGUAAAAUACCAACAGAAAUAUUCCGUCGGUAAUAGUAAUGGUAAACACUGACGAAAUAUGUCCAUCGGUGAUUAUGGCAUGGGUGGUAAUUGUUUGGCAACUCUCGGUAAAAUACCGACGGCCAGGAUCCGUCGGGAAAGUCGUCGGCAUGUAUUUAUAAUAUAUAUAAAAAAUAAUUUAUUAAUAGUAAAAAAGCUUAAUAAACAAAUAAAAUUGUAUUAAACAUUAAAAAUAUAAAAAUAAUGUUAAAUAUUAUUCAUCCAAAUAUUCAUUACAAAUUUAAUGUGUUUAAAAAACAAAAUUAAACUAGAAUAGCGGUAGAGCUAGAGGAGGAGGAGGAGGAGGAGGAGGAGGAGGAGGAGGAGGAGGAGGAGUUGGUUGUUCCCGGGACCGUACGACCAAAAAGGAGCUGCACAUGUAUCAUCACCCAUCCUUGAUAAUUACUCCAUGACCAUUUGAUGGAGUUGAUCAUAAUUCAUCGAGAGUUGUUCAUAUUGUUGUUUCAAGGCCAUGAACUUCUCAGACUGGGUGCUCGAUGCUGAUGGAGAGCUCCUAACGGUUGAGACACUACGGGUUGAUCGCAAUUUUUCGGUCGUAGUGUUGGAGAGCCUGUGGACUCAAUUUUUUUUGGGACCACUAGACGAUCCCACCUCCAUCCACUAAUCCGAAUCAAAAUCCGGAUAGAUCGAAGGAUCGUCCCCAUAUCUCUCCCUCAACCGUCUAUUAUAGGUCUCCUGAAAUUUUUUAAAAAAUCAUCAUAUUCAAUUCAAGAAAAUAAUAACUUACUAAAUAAAAUGAUUGAACGAACAUACUACGAAGUGCUGAGCACGGUUGUCCACAAACUACUGCACCCCUUUUUGGCGAUCUUGACUCCGCACAUGCAUCUCUACAAACAACUCCAUUGGACGUAGCUUAUAAGGAAAAAAUAGGUUGCAAUUAAGUUAAAUAUAUUUAUAAGCAACGACAAAUUAAUUAAUGAUAUAUCUCAUUAAAAUUAAUCUUACCAUCCGCUUUGCAUGUGUGCUGAACGGGACGGAGCCGUCGGUGUGCAUGGUCACCAAACCAUGAAUUUACCAGUUCCGGUUGUGGGCGCCGAAUUGUGAGCACCAUGAUAACCACUCUAAGGUCACGUGCUCAAUAUAUGUUGUCCAUAUAUCUCUCGAGAUGAAUGGCAGUUUGAAUUCCCGCCAAACCGCUACCUCAUUCCAUCCUUUAAGACCGUUAUCCCUCGCAUGUCUUUUUGAUUUUUUUUAUUGAACCAACCAGUUUAACUCGGUUUUUUUGGUUUGGCUAAGUUUUUUAUUCUGACUUGGCUCAGUUUUUUCGGUUUUAGGCUUAUAAACAUAACCGAACCAAUCAGUUUUUUAAAAUUCUAAUCGGUUUAAUAAGUUUUUUUUACAGUUCGGUUUUUUCGGUUAUUUUUUUUAUGGUUCUCUCGGUUUAAUCAAUUUUUUUAUUUUCUUGCUUACCCUUACAUAUAGGUAGUGAAAGGGAAAUUACGAAUUAUACAGAAUUGAACAAAAAAAUAGAAGGUCAAUUUUUAAAAUAGAAUGCCCACUCCGGCGUGAAAAAUGGAAUAUUAAAGGCAAAUACAUGUUGUUGGCAAAGUUCCAAGCCUGGGGUCCAGUUUCAUGCAAACAUCUAAUGCACGUUAUGAGGCAACAAAUAAAGCAGGAAGAGAAUAGACUAAAAAGAAAUCUAUAAUGUUAAAUCUAUGAUGAAAUUUAUUGGUCUAAGAUGCUAAAAAAUUAACAUGUAUUUAAACUUAUAUAUAUUAUAAUACCUCGAAAAUAUAGAGUUGAUCAAGUUCAGAAUAUGUGGACAUGCUUUUUAUAAAUUCAAAACUAGUAGAGGAAAGACUCAUAUCGUAUAUAGAAAACUUAGAUAUUUUUCAAUUAUACCUAGAAUGCAAUGACAUCAUCAUUCACAAGAUUUUGUGGAUGUUUUAUUAUAUGAUAACAUCAAAAUAUAUUGAAAGAUUAUGUAUAUAUCAUUAUGAAUAGUGGAGAUAUGAUACAAUUAAAUGAGAAUUUUAUAUAACUAGAUAAAAAUAUGAAAUAAAAAGACUAUGUGGAUGAUCUAAUAUAUAUUUUUAUAUACCAUUGAGACAUUCUAGAUCUAAAAAGAGGUCUUGUCGUGUCAAAUUAGACGAACAUCUUAGGACCAUGUCUUUUAUCAAAUUGUUAGAUUUCCCGGAUUAGGUAUCAAAACUGAAUAUUGUUAUUUGGGUUAAUUUUUUUUUUAAUUUUUUCAAGGUUUUUUUUUUUGGAUUUAUUAUUUAAUUUGAUUUAUUAUUUUAAUUUCUUUUGCUUUUUUGUAUUUCUAGUUGUUUUCUAAUAGAUGUAGGGCUUUUUUGAUCUAUUUAUAGGUCUUAUAAACCUUUUAAAAGAUAAACUUAUUAGGUUUAUUUUUAGAUAAAUAAAUCAUAAAUUUGUGUUUCACAUAUAUAAUUUUUUUUGUUCAUUAAAUUUUAUUGUGUUUUAUGUAUUGUUACUAUUCUUAUAGGUCUCUGCUGCAUCAACCAUGCUUUGAGUUGGCUAAUUGUUAUUUUUUAUUUCAUAUUAAGUAUAAACAGGUAGUGAAAGGGAAAUUAAGAAUUAUACAGAAUUGAACAAAAAAAUAAAAGUUCAAUUUUUAAAAUAGUAUGCCCACUCCGGCGUGAAAAAUGGAAUAUUUCACAUCUAAUGCACGUUGUGAGGCAACAAAUAAAGUGGACCAAUUGGAAAUGAAAGAAGUGACCUUUGAACAAAGACUUCCAAGUCGUUGGCAUUAUGCAAUCAAUAAUUCAACAUUAAAAAAUCCCAAGUUGUUGCCUUUGAAAUGUCUAAUGCACGUUAUGAGGCAACAAAUAGAGUGGACCCAUUGGAAAUGCAAGAAGACCUUUGACAGGUCGUCUGUGCUGUGUAGCAGUGACCUCUGAAAGACAUCAAAGACUUCCAAGUCGUUGGCAUUAUGCAAUCAAUAAUUCAUCAUUAAAAAUUUUGGUAACUUUCUGGAAAUGAGACGUGAGAUUUUUCGUCCUUAACAUGUGGACCUUUCUUUAUUGACUUUCAUAAAUUUAGAUAUAACUAGUAAAUUUAAGUUGUUUUAUCUUAUUAAUUUAUACACUCAUUUUAAUUCUGUACCUCCUCGAUUCCUCUGGCAUGCAUCAUCACUCCGUAAUCAUUGUAUAUGGGAACCCCAUUUCCAUCAGCCCAAGAAAUUAUAUCUGCGUAAAGCUCGGCAGUUUGAUUAGCGAUAUAUAUUUGAAAGAUCAUAUCGCCUUCCCGCAAUAUAAUCGGUAUAAACUGACAGAAAUGAAGCCUAAAAAGAUAGGUGAAUGUGGAUUGGACCGGAAACUGCCAAGUCAUAUUGUAUUCCUUAUUUACAGUAGAAUUGGGUCCCAUGGUCCUAGCAGUUCGAUAGAGUACAUCAGGUGCAGCAUAGCGAGUGAGGUUAUUAUACUGAAGUUGAAUAGUGCCAUUAUAUUGAUAAACGCUCGGUCUAGCAUCCGUCAAGUAAUCGUCGUCGUUUAGCCAACUUUGAAUAGUGCCGUUAUUUUGAUGUUGUGGAUGUUUUGUUAUGAAUAUUUGGUGAAGAUAAGAUACAACUAAAUAAGAAUUUUAUACAACUAGAUAAGGAUUGAAACAGAAAAACUAUAUUGAUAAUUUAAUAUAUAUAUUUAUAUACCAAUAAAACAUGUUUAGACCUAAAAAAAAGGUCUUGUCCCUCAAAUUGGAUAAACAUCUUAAAAUUGCAUCUCUUAUCAAAUUAUUAGAUCUCCAGGAAUUAUGCACCAAACCAAAAUAUUGUUGUUUGGGUCAAAUUUAUUUAUUUUUCCUAGUUUUUUUAUUUAUUAUUUAAUUUGGUUCUUUAUUUUAUUUUAUUAUGUUCUUUUGUAUUUCUAGUUGUUUUCUAAUAGAUGUAGGAUUUUUUUUUAAUCUAUUUAUAGGUUUUAUAAACCUCUAAAAAAAUAAACUUCAUUAGUUUUAUUUCCAUAUAAAUAAAUCAUUAAUUUAUAAUUUACAUUGUAAUCUUUUUCGCUCAUUAAAUUUUAUUGUGUUUUUGUAUUGUUACUAUCCAUAUAGGUCUAGGCUGCAUCAACCAUGCUUUGAGUUGUCUAAUUGUUUUUUUUUUUUUUUCAUAUUAAGCAUAAACAAAAAAAUAAAAUAAAAGGUCAAUUUUUAAAAUAGGAUGCCCCAUCCGGAGUGGAAACUGGAAUAUGAAAGGCAAAUACAUGUUGGUGGCAAAGUUCCAAGCCUUUGGGCCCAGUUUCAUGUAAACAUUAGGCAACAAAUAGAGGGGACCAAUUGGAAAUGGAAGAAGACCUUUGACAGGUCGUCUCGUCUGUGCUGUGUAGCAGUGACCUUUGAAAGGCAUCAAACACUUCCAAGUCGUUGGCGUUAUGCAUCAAUAAUUCAACAUUCAAAAAAAAAUCCGCACUUUCCAAGAAAAUUAACUUUCAAGACAUCAUAAUCAGACUUCUGCAUAUUUCCGUGGAAUUUUAUUUUUUAUUUUUUUUAAAAUAUGGAAAUAUAUUGGUAACGUUUUAGAAAUGAGACGCCAGAUAUUUUUCGUCCUUAACAUGUGGACCUUUCUAUAUUGAUUUUCAUAAAUUUAGAUAUAACUAGUAAAUUCACGUUGUUUUAUCUUAUUAAUUUAUACAUUCAUUUAAUUAUUAUUUAAUAUUUGUUUUUCUUAUUUUCUCUACAAUAUCACUUGAUAAGUUGGCAAGGAUAAUGAUGUCCAAUAUAUUUCAGAAAAUAAUACAUGAAAGUCUUACAAUGUUGUUAUCAAUUUACUAUUUUACUAAUACCAUACAUCUACAUGCAAUAAAUAUAUUUUUCAUUUUUUCUUAUUGUGUGGAAUUUUUUUUUUAUAAUACUCAGAAAAAAAUAAUAAUUAAAAGAAUAAGGACCAAACUAGAACAAUUUUAUUUUUGUUUUUAAUGCUUUUUUAACUUAAUUGUUUUCAAUUUUAUCCAUAUAUAUUUUAUUUAAUUUAAUUAUUUAAUCUAGUUUGGUCCUCAUUCUUUUUAUUACUAUUUUUUUUAAAUUUUAUUUCUCAUCAUUUUAUUUCGUUUAAUUUUUGUGUCCAAUUUUGGUACUCAUUCUUUGAUUGCUUUAUAUAUAUACUAAAUAUAUAUAUCAUUUUCUUAAUUUAUUUUAAUUUUCAAUUUAGUCUCUUAUUGUUUUCUUUUAUUUAAUUUUUAUGUCAGAUUUGGUCCUUAUUUUUUAUUGUUAUUUAUUUAUUUCUUAUCUAAUUUUGGAUGAUUAGGGAUUUUGCUUGGUAUUUUUUAGAGUUUGCCUUUUAUGAUUUAAUCCUGAUUUCAUUACUCAAGUCACUAGUUUCGAGGAUUAGCCCGAUUUAAAUUUGAUAUUUUUUAUACCUUUUUUUUAAAAUUGAUUAUUUUUUAAUUUUAUCAUUUAAUUUAGGUUAUUAUGUCUUGAGUUUCAUAAUUUUUUCUACUUUUCUUUUUCUAUAUCAUCCUAUGUCAUGGGUUUGCUGGGUGAACUCAGGGUCAUUCAAGUUUUAAUUUCAUUUAGUCUUGAGUUUCAUGGUUUUUAUUUAAUUCUUUUAUUUUAUCAUUCCACAUUAAAUUAUUGGGUUUUGAGCUUCAUGGUUUUUUCCUCAUUCUUUUAUGUGAGUUUAUCUUGAUCUCAUAUCAUAGGCUUAGAUUUUUUAUUGCGUUUUUAUUUCAUCAUUUGAAAUUACAUUAUUGGGUUUUAAGCUUUGUGAUUUUUUUUAAUUUUUUUUUAUGGGGUUAUCCUGAGUCGCAGGUUUGUCAAGUUAACCCGAGUUGACUUCGAGUUUUUUUUUUAUAAUCCUUUUAUUUUUCUUCGGUCUUUUUUUCUUGGUCCUUUUUAUUUUAAAUAAUUUUUUAUCCCGAUCACAUUUUGCGGGUUGCGAAUUAGUCGAGUGAACCUUGGCUCACUCAAAUUUUUUUACAUUGUUUCUUUUUAAAUUAUUUUUUAUUUCAAUUUAAUUUUUUGAUAUUAGAUUGUUAGGUCAUGAUCUUAGUGAUUUUUUCCACUUUCCUUUAUACGAGGUUGACUCGAGUUACGAGUUAAUCAAGUUAACCAGGGUGGCCUCAUUUAUUUUCUUGAUAUUUUAUUUAUUGAUUUAACUUCAAUCUUUUUUAUUUAAGUCUUUUUUUUAAAAAAAUAUUUUUUUAAUUCUAAUCUCAUAUUGAGGGAAGCGGGUAGUUAAGUGAUUUCGAGUUGACUUGUGUUUUUUUUUGAUGUUUCUAUUUUUAAAUUUUAUUUUCGAGUUUCAUUUUUUAACAUUAGGCUAUUAGGCUUGGAGCAUUAUUUUUUUUUUCGUUUUCCUUUUAUAGAAUUAUAUUAAUUUUUUAUCCUAGAUCAGAGGUUACUCAAAUUAACCUAACUUAACAUAAGUGAUCAAUGCCUUAACAUUUUUUUUUCUGUAACAUGGAUCACCAUACCAGUAAUAUAAAAAAGAGAAAUGGGGACCAAAUUCUUUUAUCUCUCUCUCUCUCUAGAGAGAGAGAGAGAUCAUUGGAGUCUAAAAGUAAAUUUGAUAUCUUCAUGAUGAAUAAAAGUACAAAAUUAGAUUAAUUGAAAUAUUAUUAGUUUAGUUAUAUAAAUAUAAAUAUUACGUAAAGUUUAUGUCAUUUAUCUACACAUAAAGAAAAUCUAAAAUCUUGGUAGAUUAAAAAUCUUUUUUCUCUUGUGAGCAUAAACUCUCUUUUUUUGUUUUUGUUUUAGCUAGAAGUGGUAAAAAAGAGAUAUACAGAGGAUAUGAGAUUGAUCAGCUCUUUUUAAUAUGCAGAGAGAUUCAAACCAUUGACGUAAUCAAGAUUUUACUAAUUAAAGGUUUUGAGCAUUUAGCUAAAUAUAUGAUACAAUAAAAUAAGAAUUUUAUACAACUAGAUAGAGAUUUGAUCUAGACAAACUAUAUAGAUGGCCUAAUAUAUAUUUUUAUUUAUCAAUGAGAUAUGUCUAGGUCUAAAAGAAGGUUAUGUAGUGUCAGAUUAAGUUAACACCUUAAAACUGCAUCUCUUAUGAGACUAUCGGAUUUUCAGAAAACACACCCCUUGCUCUUUGAUCUGGAUCACUUUGGGUGACACUUUCGCGAGUGCUAACAGUGCUCCUUGAAUGCGACUCCGCUCCACUAAACAUGUCAUCGUCAUCAGUGGUCGUGACAUCUUGAUGUGGUGAAAAUGAGCUUUUAUUUUCCAUAUUGAUCCCGUCUACACUGUUGGCAUUUUCCUCAGCAGAUUGUUGAAGCUGCAAUGCAAAUUCAAGGCCCCAAACGACAUCACCCAUUUUAGGGCGUUCAAUUCCUGAAACAUGUAAGCAACUGUUAGCAAUCUCUGCCAACUUAUUUAAAGAGACAGGGGAAACCUCGCCCUUUAAAUGUGGAUCCACGAUCUGAUCAAGGGUUCCUCUUUGGUAACACUUUCUUGCCCAGUCAGCUAAGCUUGCUUGAUCUUUCGGUGAACUUGGAAUCACUGGUGGCCUUGCACAUAGCACCUCAAACAAAACCACACCGAAUGAAUAAACAUCAGAUUUCUCUGUCAGGUGUUGCCUACGGUAGUACUCUGGAUCCACAUAUCCAAUGCUACCUCUAACUACAGUGCUAACAUGGGUUUGGGAUGUACUAGUGGGACCCAAUCUGGACAGCCCAAAAUCUGAAACCUUAGCCACCCAAUUCUCAUCUAACAAUAUGUUUGUUGACUUCACAUCACGGUGAAUGACUGUGUGCUUUGCUCCUGAAUGAAGAUAAUGCAACCCUUUAGCAGCACCGAUGCAUAUUUCUAGCCUUUGCUUCCAUGGAAGAGGAGAGUUCUUUGUUUUGUAUAGAUGUUCUCUAAGAGUGCCUCUUGACAUGUAAUCGUAUACAAGAAUCAUCUCGCCAUGAUCAUCACAGUAUCCAAUCAGCGACACUAGAUGGAGGUGGCGCAGAUUGGAUAACAUCUCAAUCUCUGUCUGGAACUCACGUGUCCCUUGCUUUGAUGAUGAAUCUAGUCGUUUGAUGGCUACUGCACCGUAUUCAAUGUAUCCUUUAUACACAGUACCAAAUCCCCCUGAACCAAUAAUAUUUUGAUCAUCAAAGUGUCCUGUUGCUUCGUUGAUUUCGAAAAAUGUAAACCGUCGGCAAAGAUCAGUAGGGAGUGAUGAAGAGAUUGUAGUCGUGGACCUAGAUGUUUGUGAUAUUAGAGUCCAGGAGGAUUUUUCCUCACUCUUGCUAGGGUCCUUGACUCGCUUCUGCUUGAAAGCAAAGAAAUAAAGAAUAAGAGAGCAAGCAAACACUGCACCUAUGGAACCUCCAACGAUGGCUAUAACCGUAAGUAUUGAUGAUCUUUUGCCCGUUCUUCUGUCUUGUAGACUUGGAUGUUGUUCUGCUGGUGGAGGAGCCACUGUUGGCUCAGGGUUGGAUCCUGCAAGAUUUCCGUCUGUUGUAUUCAGCUUGAAUAUUUCCAAGCCAUUCAAGAUUGCAUCAGCAUAAGUAG
RNAcentral lists this long non-coding RNA (82567 nucleotides) under Populus tremula. RNAcentral's name for it is "long non-coding RNA (PTRE_LNC001349)". Lineage: Eukaryota; Viridiplantae; Streptophyta; Magnoliopsida; Malpighiales; Salicaceae. The record is from RNAcentral.